Molecule: long non-coding RNA, 57734 nt
Filed under: Ananas comosus (pineapple)
Lineage: Eukaryota; Viridiplantae; Streptophyta; Magnoliopsida; Poales; Bromeliaceae
Description: long non-coding RNA (ACOM_LNC028796)
Source: RNAcentral
ACUUUUGAUUUUUAUUUUUACAAAAAAAGAACUUCAAAUACCACCCCAGUAUUUCCGCAUGUUCUCACUUUAGUAUUUUAUAAUUUAAACCGUAUCACUUUAGUAUUAUGUGAUUUUAUUUUUUUCUUUUCGUUAUCCUCUUUAUUAAUUUUUUUGUUAAAUCAAUAAAAAGUUAAAAUUAUAGAAUACUAAAAUAAAAAUUUCGUAAAUCACAGAAUAUUAAAGUAAUUAUUUGAUAAACUACAGGGGCAUUUGAAGUUUUUUUUAUAUAUAUUUUAACAGAGAGUUAAAUGAUAGAACGACGGAAAGAAAAAAACGAAAUCACAGAGUACUUGAAUCUACAUAGUAUUAAAGUAAAAAAGUGCUAAUCGGGAUAUUUGAAGUUUUUUAUUUUUCUAAUUAAAUUUGCCAAUCAAAAUUAGUAAUAAUUUUAUUAAAUUUGACUACUCUGUCUAUAAAUAUUGAUGCAAUUUUUUAUUUUUUUAUUCAAUUAAUAUAAUGAUUUCGAUAAAUGUAACUAUUUUGAAUGCUUUUAGUUGAUUAAACUGAAUAGCUGAGAGUUAAUGUCGUCAUUAAUUUUUAACAAAUUUUUAAUUUAUUCCAAAAAAAUAUAAUUUAAAUUAUUUAUAAUUAAACGUUAAAGGGAAAGUUAGAGGACCUAUUUCAAAUUUCUCUAUAAGUGAGGGGUCAGGAAAAAUUAGAGUGAAGCAGUGGCAACGACACGUGUAAAGCACGAGAGGGGCUUCGGUGGCAACGACACGUGUAAAGCACACCGAGUCCUCUUUAGCCGUUGGAUCAUCAAUCGACGUUGAUUACACGAUCAAAUAAAUUCCCCGAUUUUGGUUUAAAUAAUAUCUAUUCCGUUCGAGCUCUGAUUCUUCUGGAACCGUUGGAUCAUAAAUCGACGUUGAUUAGAUGAUAUUCUUAGAUACUUCAAAUCUGGGUCUAAAUUCGUGUAUCUGUGUUGGGCCGUACUUGGCCCAAUGGUUAAUUGCACGAUUGGUCCUCAACUUAUGAGGGCGUGACAUUUCGAUCCUCAAACUUUAAUUUAUUCUAAUUUCUGACUCAAACUAUCAGAAUUAAUGUAAUCAAGUUUCAUAAUCUAAUUUAGUCGACGAAAUGAUAACGCAUCGACACAUCUUAAUUUUUAUUAUAUCAUCAAUUACAAUAAUUACACACCACUUUUACAUCAAUAAUUUAUCAAUAUUAAGCCCUAAGGGUGGCAAUUCGGCUCGCUGUUAGUGAGCCAGCUAAUGUUCGCCUCAAAAUGGGCUUGAAAUCGAAUCGCUUAUUUAAAACAAGCCGAGCACGAACUGAAUUUUCCAGCUCGUUUAAUAAACGAGUCGAACGUGAGCUGGGUCAGCUUGCUCGUGAUCGGCUCGAUAACAGUUCAAAUACAUACAUAUAUAUAUACAUAUAUAUAUAUAUAUAUAUAUAUAUAUACACAUAUAUAAUAUAAAUUUUUAUUAUUUGGUUUUUAGUUUAACCUAAAUAUAAAGUCCAACUCAAUUAUAAAAAAAGUCAUUUAUUUGUAAAGUUUUAACUAUUAGAUCAAAGACAAAUGGAUAAGGUCUCAUAAAUUUAUUUUCUAUACGUAUUUUUCAUAAUUCUUUUAACUUGUUAUUCAUGAGCCAGCUCGUGUUUGGACACGAGCUGAAUUUUUCGGCUUGAUACUUUAAUGAGUCAGAUUGUAUUCAGCUCGUUUAUGAAACGAGUCGAAUAUGAGCUGGCCUCAACUCGCCCGUGUUCGGCUCGUUGACACCCCUAAUUUAGCUAACUAAAUUGGGUUGUGGAACUUGAUUGUUUUAAUUUAAAAAGUUCUGCUUAAAGGUUACAACAAGCUAGAGUUUGAGAACCGCAAGUGUUACCUUACCUAUAGUUUGAGCCUGUUAGUUAAUUCGCGAAUUACUGAAAAUUCGAACUAAACGGUUUAUUUACGAAUUUUUUUCAAAGAAAGAGAAUUAUUCGCGAAUUUUUGGGCGAGCCGAAUAAUUCGCGAAUUAUUCUUGAAUUAUUAAAAAUUUGAAUAAAAAAUUUAUAAUUUUUAUGUUUAAAUAUAGAUUAUUUUAUAUAUUAUAUCUUAUAUUUUAUAUUUUAUACCGAAUCCGUUUUUUAAGCCGAAUUUUUCAAUAAAUUUAAAAAUUAGAAAAUAAAUGUUAUACGUAUUAUACCCUUUUAGGCUGCGUUUGGUUGGAGGGAUAUCCCAGAACAAAGCGGGAUAUCCCUCCAAACACAAUGCAUUUUGGAACAAUCGGGUUGUUCCCGGCUUAACGGGUUGUUCCAGAAACAACCCGGUAAGCUUGUUCUCCGGAGAACAAGCCGGAACAAGAGAUUUGGGCUUUUUUUUCUUUUUUUUUUUCUGGCCUUUUAAUUUUUUAUACUUUAUUUUAAUUAAUUUCAAAUAAAUUAAAUGAAUGCUCAAAUUUAAUAAAUAAAUAUAUUAAUAUAAAUAUUAUUUUUAUGAUAAUAAAUUUUAUUAUAUAAUAUAAAUUAAUUAAAUUUGAUAUAUAUUUUAUUUUAUUAAGUUUUAUCAUUUAUAUAUUAAUAUUUAAUUAUUUUAUUUUAUAUUAAUUAUUAUAUACAUAAAAUUAUUUUUUCAUAUAUUAUAUAUAAUUUUUUAACUUGUAUGAAAUUUAUACUUAAAUUUUUAUGAUAAUUAUUUAUACUUAAUUUUUAUAUAUAAUAAUUAAAUUAAUUAAAUUUGAUAUAUAUUUUAUUUAAUAAGUUUUAUCAUUUAUAUUUAUGAUUUAAUUAUUUUAUUUAUAUUAAGUAUUUAUACGUAAAGAUUUAUCAUAUAUAUAUAAUAUUAUAUUAUAAUAUAUUAUAGUAAAAUGUACGUGCAAAUGCCCGUAAUAAUUAUUAGAAAAAGUUAUAAUUUUUUUAAAUUAUUUUUUAAUUUUAGGCAUAUUUUAUAUGAUUGCCAAAUAUGUAUCCUAAAUAAAUUUAAAAUUAAUAAAUCACGCUAUUAAGAAAGAUAUGCUUAAAUGAUAAAUAGUUAACAAUAAUCAUCUAAUGCAAAAAUUACUUUUGAAAUUAAUAGAAAAUAAAAUCUGUUAGAAAUAAAUUUUUGAAAUUAAAUAGAAAAUAAAAUCCGUUAUCUUUAAAAAAUAUAUAUUUUGAAAUUAAAUAGAUAAUAUCUAAAAAAAAUUUUAAAUAAAAUAGAAAAAUAUCUUUUAUAAGAUUUUCACACUCGUAAUCUGUUAUAGAAAACUUACUUUUGAAAUUAAAUAAAAAAAUUUUAUAUUUUAGAAUUUUCACAUCUCUAAUCUGUUAUAAGAGAACUUACGUAUUCAUUACUGUUUUUUUUCUAUUUUUAUUCUUAUAUUUAAAAUUUUCGUACGAAAAGAGGAAAUGGGCGCUAAUUUUUCCGCCGAAAAAUGGGUCUGUCGAUCAGACCCAAAUUUAAAUAUACGUGCUUUUAUAUAAGUAUAGAUAUAUAUAUAUAUAAUUAUAUAUAUAUAUAUAUAAUAUAUAUAAUAUAUAUAUAUAUAUAUAUAAUUGCAUUGAAUUUAUACUUAAAUUUUAUGAUAAUAUUUAUACUUAAAUUUAUUAUAUAAUAUAAAUUAAUUAAAUUGAUAUAUUUUUUUUUAUUAAAUCUCUAUCAUUUAUAAUUUAAUAUUUAAUUAUAUAUAUUUUUUUAUUUUAUUAAAAAUUUAUACUAAAUUUUUUUUUUUUUUUUUGUUUAAUUAAUUAAAAUUAGAGGAUAUUGUUAGUACUAUACUUUAAUUCAUUAAUAUAUAUGAAUAAAUUUAUAGAAAAUAAUAUACAUAAAUAAUUAUACAUAAAUAAAUUAUUAUAUAUAAUAAAAUAAAAUAUAUUAUUUUAAAUUAGAUUCUUACAUAAAAUAUUAUAUUAUAAAUUACUAUAUGAAAUAAUUUUAUAAAUAAUUUUAUAUAAAAUAUACUAAUAUAAAUUAAUUAUUUUAUUUUUAAAAAUAUAUUUAGACGUUGUUCUAGACUUUUUAUCCAAACGCUAUUAAGGAUAUCCUCUAGAAUAUCCUCGAAUGCAUCCAAACAUAAAUUCACAAUUGUUCUAUCUUAUACCGAAAUAUCCCCUGUUCUCGGGAACAACAAAAGUUGUUCUCCAAAAUUUAGUUCUCAGUUUUACUGAAUUUUUGCCGAAUCCAAAUUAACUCACCAAACGUGCAAUCUACCCUUUUUAUUUGUGAGGGAAAUAGACUGUUGUUGUUCAUUGAGCUUAAUUACAGAAAUUACGGCUUAGUUUGGUAUUACAAAGAAAUUGUAUUUAUAUGCAAUGAAAAAGUGAAAAAGCUGAAUGAAAAAAUAUUUUUGUUUCCAUACGUAAUAUUAUAGAAUACUAAAGUUAUACUAAAGUGAUUAUGAAAUAUUUUUUUUGUAGUUCCACAAAAAGAGAAAAAAGCAAAUCCCUACGCACUUUAGUCCCAAAUCCCUUUUGCCCAAUAGUGCUGGAUGGGCCCCAGUAUGCAAGGAGGAGAUUAUAAUUCAAAAUAAAAGAAAGGCGAAAAACGGCAAUUUAGGAGCCGUUUGGUUGCAUAUAGCUGCAACUGCACUACAGUUAUAAUUAUAUAUAAAUAUAAAUUUAGUGUUUUGUUUAAUAUACUUAACUUCAACUGCUGCAGUAGGAACUACAGGAGAAGGUCCAACUACAGUAGUUAGAAUUAUGCACAAAUUGGCCGCAAUUCCAACUGUAGCAAUUGAAGAGAGUAACUUUAAACAAAAUAUAUGCUGACCUCCUUAAUUAUUUGUUAAACGAAAAUAUUUUUUUUCACAUUGGAAGUAAUUUCACCAUCAUAUAUAUAUAUAUAUAUAUAUAUAUAUAUAUAUAUAUAAUGAUAAAAUUUUAAAAGUUAUUUUUCACGUGCGUGCAACCAAACAAUUUUUUUAUAGUUGCAGCGCUUUCUACUACAUCAAAUUAAACAGGAUAUAUAAAGUUACAAUUAUUGUAUUUUUAAUUACAUGUGUUUUUAACUAUACUGUAUUUAUAAUUAAUUUUCUCCAAUUUCAAUUAAAUUGGAGAAAAUUAAUUACGCUAGGAGCUUGACGUAACUUAAACUCAGAACCUCCUGCUUUGAUAUUAUAUGAAACAACCGUUGUAUUCUAAAAGCUUAACCUGUUCGAGAACGAUGUUUAUAUAACUUUGUAUUUAAUAUAGAUUGAGUUGUAUCAUAUCAAAUUAAAAUUUGGAUAACAAAGUAUCAGAGCUCACAUUAAGUUCUUUACCAACAUCCACCAUGCAGAUGAAUAGGAAUAAAUUACAUUCAUCUAACUUACACCAUUUAGGUGAGCGAAAAAUAUUAAAACUAGCUCUGAGAUGUAUCUGGCCAUAUGGAUCUUUGGGGUUUCAAUUGGAAAUAUCAACGGGUUGGAUUUGGGUGAAUUUUCAAAAAAUCCGUAUCCGAACCUAACUCCAAAUUCGAAAUCCGAAUCCGACUGGUUUUAAAAAUUCAUAUUCAAACCCGAGCCCGACCAAAAAUCUGAAAUUCGAACCCAAACCCAAACCCGAAAAUCCAAACCUGAAAUAAUUAUUCCUCUUUUCAAUAUUUCAAAAUAUAUUAUAUUAUAUCUAAAAUUUUAAAAUAUAAAUUCAAAUAUAACAUCAAGUUUUUAUAUACAUAUAAUAUGUAAUUAAAAUAAAUUCAGGUUCAAGUCGGGUUCGGGUUUGGGUUCAGGUUCGAAUUCGGGCUGGGUACAGUCAAAAUUAAUAUCCGAAUUCAUAUCCGUCAGAUUUUUAUUUUUCAUAUCCAUAUUCAAAAUCAUAUCCGUUUAGUACCAGAUAAAUCUACUCCCGAUUCGAAUUCGGAUAAAGUUUUGAACCUCCGUAUCCGUUGAGAUCCCUAGUUUCAGUACCUUUUGAUCCCAUCCCACACCUUUUUAAGGAUUCAUUUAAUAUUCUAUUUAAGAUGAUGACCAAGGACAUGAAAUGAAGCAACAAUAAAUGGAGCGAAGUUUACAAAGUUAACCCUAAUAAUCCAUGUUAAUAACAAAACAAAACCCUUCUCCUACAAAUAUGCAAAUAAUCUAAAAGAUGAAACCAAACAAAAUAACCCAAAAUACAAAUGAAUAUGAACACAAAAUAUAGGACAAAACAACCCUAAAUUUUCAAAGUUUGUCUCUUCUUGUAAUUAAAGAUUUGUAUUGUGAGUUGUGAGUACCUCUUUGUGAUCUUCUCCACAUGUAUUUUGUGGAUAAAUCCAACUUGUUUGUAUCCCAAGUGAUAUCACCCCCUUUUUUUUUCUUUUCUUUUUUUUUUCUUUUUUUGCUUCUCCCCCAUUCUCAAAAAUUCUUAUCAUAUCACAACUUCAUAAAAUGGUUGAGAAGAUCAUGUGGAUGGAAACUUUUCAUGUACACAAGUUUUUAACUCUUCAUGGCAAUGUAUGGACCAUGCAAAUUGCAAUUAUGUGUAUUUUAGUCAAAAUAAAACUAUUCGAAAAAGCACCAAAAUUAUAUAUUUAUUUGCUUUUAUCUAAGCUUUAAUUUGCUUCUCAAAUUUCCCCCAUGGUGAUUCAAAGUUUCAAACUUUCCAAAAUACUUUUACUUUAGUCUUUGUUCUCAUUUACUAGUAGUAAAGAAUAACUAUUUUUCUGUAGCUGUCGUAUUAUAUAUAUAUAUAUAUUUGUGUACCAUAUAUUUUAUAAAUCUACACUCCCCCAGAUAAAAGAUACGACGCUAAGAUGGUGUUCUCCCUGAGAUGCAUUGAAACGCAGCAGUUGACUGGACAUCUAGGCAUAAAGCACUGUUUCGAUGCGAGCUACGAGAGCACUACCAAAUCGAGGCAAAUUCUGAAUACUAAUACCUAAAUAUUAACAUAUUAAAUAUAGAUUUUUUUAAAAAAAAAGGCUCUAGAAAGGUAUUACAAAUUAUGUUACAAUCAAAAUGGCUUUUCUGUAUAUGAGUUUAUUUUUUUUAAAAAAAAAUAAUUACUUUAGAAGCUUCAAUAGAAGAUUUUGUUUUCUUUUGGCAGGGCCAAAAGCUAUUUGGCCAAAAGCUAUUUUGCUUUUAGUAAUGUUUCAAUAUUUCUAUCAUAAGGAGCAAAGAAAAGUGCUCCAUUAUCCAGCUUAAAAAAAAAAAAAAAAAAUCACUUCUACUUUUUGAGUGUCCCAUACUCCCAUGUGCUUCUCUUCUCUCCUUAACACUCCUCACAUUACCACAUGUGCAAAACCAUGCUCUCUUGUAGUUUCUCUCUUGUGCUUUUCUUUUUUCUUUUUUUUUUUUUUUUUUCCCCACCAUUCUCUCUUUUUUUAUUUUUUAUUUUUUUGCUAAAUUACACUUGUAGUUUUCUAGGCUGUAAAAGCUGUGACACUUUGGUCAUUAGUUUCCAAGUUUUAGUUUGUUAUAAUUUUUUAUUUAAAUUAUUUAAACUUACUGUAAUCAAAUCCCACAACUUAGAUUAGUUGGUUAAAAGUUAGCGUUCCGCUGAUGUGAAAAUAAUAUGGUAAUAUCAUAAUUGAUGUCACAACAGCAAUUAAAAUAUCAUAUCUUUUUCAAAUUAGCGACACGUUAAUAUUUAAUCAACGAAAUAAAAUUAUUAAUCUCGAUUGUAAUAAUUUUUAAAAAAUAAAUUAUAAAUUAUAAUAAAUCAAAAUUUGAAAACUAAAAUAUCAUGCACCUAGUUUCUUUUUUUCUUUUUUCUUUUUUUGAGAGAGAAAGAUAGCAUGCUACCCGCUUCGUUUAUUUCAUUUAGAAAUAAACUUAGCUGGAAAUGUGAAUCAACUAGGAUUCGAACUUGGGUCUCGGAUACCAACCACCAAAUUCUUUGCCACUUGCACUUGGGACGGUCGGUGUUUCUAUUUUUUACUUCUCCUCAUUCUUUACAAAUAAUUUUGUGUUCACCGAACCGACUGUCCCUAGUACAAGUGGCAAAGAACUUGAUGACUGUUAUCUGAGAUUCCAAGUUCGAAUACUAAUUGAUUCGAACUUGGGUCUCGGAUAUCGACCACCAAGUCCUUUGCCACUUGCACUAGGGACGGUCGGUGUUUCUAUUUUUUACUUCCCUCAUUCUUUACAAAUAAUUUUGUGUUCACCGAACCGACUGUCCCUAGUACAAGUGGCAAAGAACUUGAUGACUGUUAUCUGAGAUUCCAAGUUCAUAUACUAAUUGCUUUAUACUUUUAGUUAAGCUUGUUUUAAAAAAAAUAUAAACGAAGCGGGUGGGCGAACUGUUUAUCCAGUGGAUUUCAUAUUUUCAGUUAAGCUUGUUUCUAAAAAAAUUUAAACCGAGCGGGCGGAUGAACUGUUUAUCUAGUGGAUUUUAUAUAUCUAGCUUAUUUUUAAAAAAAAUAAAUAAAACGGAUGGACAAACUAUUUACCCAGAAAUAAACUUUAUAUUUUUUAUUAAAUUUAUUUUUAAGAACAAUAAACGAAUCCAGACGACGAACUGUUUAUCCAGUGGGCUAGGGCUGAAUCUAGUUUUCAUUAAAAGGGCUCUUUUAUUGCUCUGUAAACUCACAUGCACUCUCUCUCUCUCUCUACUGUGCAGUAAUCUCUCUGCUCUUUUCCACCCUUGCAGAUGCUGAUACUCUGCUCUCUCUCUCUCUCUCUCUUUUUUCCAGUUUCUGUUCCAGUUUCUGAUCCCUCACACACUCUUCCUGAGCUGCUGGCCUGCUGCUCCUCUCUCUCUCUCUAUCUCUUCUAAUCUCCUAACCACACAUCUUUGCUGCAGAUCUUAAUCUGGUUUUUCUCACUUCCUCUUCUAACUCUCUCUCUUUCUCUUUCUCUUUUUUUUUUCUGCUUCAAUCUCACACACAAGAAAAGAAUGUUGGGAGUGGAAUCAGAAUUAGAGAUAAAAGAAGAUGAUACGGAAAAGAAGUACUCCUACCAGUUUCCUCUCCGGUGGGAGAGCACCGGCGACCAGUGGUGGUUCGCCUCCCCCAUCGACGUCGCCGCCUCCAACGGCUACCGCGCCGUCGUCCGCGAGCUCCUCCGCCUCGACCCCAACCUCCUCAUCAAGCUCACCUCCCUCCGCCGCACCCGCCGCCUCGAAUCCCUCUGGGACGACGACGCCGUCGCCGGCGCCGGCGACGGCGACGGACCCGCCCAUCGCCGCGCCUCCGUCGCCCGUGGCCUGUUCCUCGAGUGUGAAUUGAAGGGCGUAACAAUGAACGCGCUCGUGCGCGCCGGGUAUGGCGGGUGGCUGCUCUACGCCGCGGCGGCCGCGGGCGACGUGGGCUUCGCCCGCCACCUGCUCGACAAAAUGCCGCUGCUGGUGUUCGGGGAGGGGGAGUACGGGGUGACCGACAUGCUGUGCGCGGCGGCGCGGAGCGGGGAUGCGGAGGUCUUCCGGCUUCUGCUCGACUCCGCUCUGUCGCCGAGGUGCUCGAGCUCCGGCCCCAGAGAACCGGAGCUGGCGAACCGGCCGGAGGAGUUCCGGCGGGAGAUUGCGAACAGGGCGGUGCACGCGGCCGCGAGGGGCGGGAGUGUGGAGAUUUUGAGGGGGCUUCUCGAGAAUUGCGAGGGCGGUGGGGAUGUGUUGGAUUGCAGGGAUGCUCAGGAAUCGACCGCGUUGCAUUCCGCGGCCGCGAGGGGGCGGGUUGAGGUGAGAUUGUGUGCUUCUAUUGCUCCUCGUUCUUGCUAUAACAAUACUUCGAUUCGAAUGUUAAUUGUAGAAUUGUAGGAUAAAGUGUAAAGAUAAUUUAUGCACUAUCCUAGCAUUGGCCUUGAACUUACCCAUAUACUGGGGGGAAAAAAAAAGAGAAAGUGGAAAUGGUAAUUUUGUUAGAUAAAAGCAUAGGUUUCUUUGUGAUGUUUAUGGAUGGAUGCCAAUCUAAGAUAGCGGCGAAGACUAGAGUGCUUAAAUGAAAAGUUCAGGAACUAAAUCACACUACGAGAAUUCCAUACAUUUUCUUCUUUAGUUGUAUCUCGAAGAUUGUAUGGGUUCCUUAGUUGCUCCAUUUCGGAGUAGUUUCGUGCCGAGAAAUAAAAUUAGCAAAUGCAUCAAAUGAAAAGGUGACAAAUCUUUGGCUAAGAAAAGUCUCCAUUAAGAUGUGGAUGGCGGAGUGACGCUGAUGCCCCAAUUGUCUAUAUUGAAUAGAAAAGGGAUUAUGGUAGGGAAUAGAAGGACUAUGGACAUUAAUACUAAUAAUUACGGUUAAGCAUUUUGGGCUGGUGGUUUGAGUUCAACAAGUUAUUAGUGCCAUCGGGUCGGGUCAUUAUAUUUGCUAUCAAAGCCAGUUUGCCAGCUGGCAGUGUGAGGGUGGUCUCACAUUGUUUGGUGAUCUUGGGCUAAGGAAUCGUCUCCGACAAAAAUGUCGGGAUCUAAACUGGUGGUCUCAUAUCAUUUGGUGGUCUUGGGCUUGGGAACUAAACUGGUGGUCUCACAUUGUUUGAUGAUCUUGGGCUUGGGCUAGGGAACGGGAUCUGGCGAGAAUGUUGGGAUCUAGACUAGCUAGGGAAUGGGAUCUAAAAUGACGGUCUCACAUAUGUUUGGUGAUCUUGGGCUAGGGAAUUGGAUCAGAUGAUCUUGGGCUAGGAAAUCGUCUCUGAAGAGAAUGUCGGGAUCUACAUUGGUGGUCUCACAUAGUUUAGUAAUCUUGGGCUAGGGAACUAAACUGCUGGUCUGAGAUCGUUUGAUGAUCUUGGGCUUGGGCUAGGGAACGGGAUCUGACGAGAAUGUUUCACUUAUUUUUUGAAUCAUCACUUCUGAAAUGCCUAUUUAAUCUCCAUGUAAAAAGUCCAUAUGUUACUUAUUUAAUCUCCAUGUAAAAAGUCCAUAUGUUACUUACAUUGCAAUUAUACGUGGAUAUUGUUGUUUUAUUCUAUGCUAAAAUAGUUACGAACGAAAUUGAAACUAUACUAAAAGGUCGAGAAUCCUCAGUGCCUUUUACACAUAAAGAAAAUAACCAUAUUCCAUCGUUAAGCCAUUCAAGUUCAUUUUUGCAGGUUGUGAAGUAUUUACUGGCUUCUUAUGACAUAAUCGACAGGAGAGAUAACCAAGGCAACACUGCAUUGCAUGUUGCAGCAUUUCGCGGGCACUUAGCGGUUGUAGAAGCCUUAAUCUCUUCCUCGGCAUCGUCCUUACCAUCGCUAACCAACAAUGCGGGGUAUACAUUUCUUCAUAUGGCGGUGGAAGGUUUCAGGGCUCCCGGUUUCCGAAGGCUCGACCACCAAAUGGAUCUUAUGAAGGAAUUAAUAUCGGGAAAACUUGUAGAUAUUCAGAACAUUAUCAAUAUUCAAAACAACGAAGGCCGGACCGCCCUUCAUAUGGCUUUAAUUGGUACCGUGCACUCCGAUCUUGUCGAGCUCUUAAUGGCCGCUCAAUCGAUCAAUCUCAACAUUCGGGACGUCGAUGGUAUGACCCCAUUAGAUCUUCUCAGAAAAAACCAGCGAUCUGUAUCGUCUGAGAUUUUGAUUAAGCGAUUAGUUUCUUUUGGGGGGAUCUCGAAUUCAAAGGACUACAUCGCAAAAUCGGCCAUUGCUUCUCAUUUUAAGAUGCAUGGUUUAGGUAAUAGUCCUGGUACUUCUUUUAGAAUCUCGGACGCUGAGAUAUUCUUGUAUGCGGAUAUUGAAGCACCGGAGGACAGUGGGCGAGCUACACCGGAGGACAGUGGGCGGCUUAGCUCGUGCUCGAGCGCGUCGCAGAGCGAAAUUUCACAAUUUAGCCCAAACGGUGAAAAGUACGAGUCCUUGAAGAAGAAGAAAAAUUCCUUCUACAAGGUUCUUUUGAAGUGGCGUCAUCGAAAGGGCAAAAAGUCGGAGAAACUAAAGAAACUUGAAGAAGAAGAGUCGUUGGAUUCGUUCCAGAAAUGGAGUCCAUGUGUCAAAAUCCCGACUCCUCUACGGCAACAGUUCUGUAAGCCGACCUCGCUUCUCAACAACAAACGAACUUACGCUAUUAAUACUUCCAUGCCAAGUCCAGACACAAUGAAGAGAUUCGCCGCCAGUUUGAGCCACGGCGUGAUUCAGCCCACGCCGGAUUUGGCUCGCACUUCUCGCUCACCAUCUAGCUCCUUUUCGAGAUCGCCGAUGUUGUCGCCGCAUUUUGACAAACCGAAAGGUGACUGUUUUGACGACGAAAGAAAUGGUGUUGUAGCCUCUUGCUCGAAUUCGCCGGCAAAAAGUGGUAAGCUGAUGAACAAGUAUUUCUCGUUUGGGGCGCAAGGCUCGAACCGCAAGUUCGAGCGGUCGGUUCUCUCUGCAGCUUGACGCACCAGUUGGAAGAGGUUCUUGAAUCAUGAACUUCACUCGUAGAUGCUCUAACAUGGUCCAUUAUUUCCUUUAACUUGUGCUUUUUGGUAUUUCUAGUAUCAUCAUCAUCAUCAAAGACAUGCUUGUAUUGUAUAUGUGUGGUAUGUUUAGAUGCAAUGAAGCUACAAAUGUUGUAUAUGGUGGCUGAUAAUAAAUUGUAUAUUAUCCUCCCAUGUGCUUGGUGCUAUCUACUUUGCCCGUAUUUCGAUGUCGGAAUAAGUUAUCCAAUGAUAUUAUCACUCGUGCAGUGCGAGGAUUUUAUUUCGUAAUUGUAAUCUAGGAUAAAGAUAGGUGAUUUUGUUGAAUAUACGUAAUAUUCAAGCACUACUGUUUUGGCGCUCUCUGGCAGCUUAAGUUUUUUCAGAGACAAGCGAUUAUUUUAUAUUAUUUUUACAUGGUAUCAUAGCCGUAAUUUGCCGUAUUGCGAAAGACAGGUGAUUUUGUUGAAUAUAUCUAAUAUUCAAACACUAUCGUUCUGACGUUCUCUGAUAACUUAAGUUUUUUAGGGACAACCGAUUGUUUCAUAUUAUUUUUACGUGGUAUCAGAAGCAGAAGUCCCGAGUUCGAAUUCCACCAGCAUGGUUGGGCCACAUGAGUUGGGUCUUAAAAAACAAAACCUGGAUUUUGUGAUUAAUUUUAUUUAAAAGUAAAAGCUCUCAAAAAUUGAGAAUAUGUCAUCAUUGAAAAGCAAAAUAAGAUCCUAAGCCUGGAAAAUAAACGCUUCAUUUUUUGGUGCUUCUGAUUCUGAUAUAAAUUCUUUUAAAAAACUUUAAUUUUUGUAAAUAUAAAUAUAUAUAUUAUUUUUCGACGGCACUAAUCCAAUAGUACUCUAUCAACAAUUUUAUUAUUAUAUACUUUAUAACCGACCAAAUAAUUCCUAAUUUACUUAUCGUUACAUAUUCAUGCAAAUACUUUUGAAUAAUAUUUAAAAUUUUAUCCGAAUCGGAACGAGACAGGUUUAGCCGAUGCUAAACCAAUUUUGUAUUAAUAAUUUUAAUUGAGGUGAGGGGCCUAUUGGACUAGUAGGUAAAGUUGAGGGGUUGUAAAUAUCAAAAUUGAAAGUUGAAGAAAUUUAUAAUAUAAAAUAAAAAUGUUUAGGAACUGAACAGAAAUAUUAUAAUAGUUCAGGGGCUAUCCAUAAUUUUACCCAAAUGAGGCCACGAAUCAAAAAGCUCCCACUUUUUCCCUCCCAUGGCGUGGUCGAUACAGGGGGAGGAGUCGAUCAAACCCUAGCAACAAAUCAAAGGAAAAAAAAAAACAAAAACACAAAUCGAAGGGAGUAGGUAAGGCGAAUCCUUCUCGAUUUUACUAAUUUUAGCAAAUUUGAGCAAAAAAUUGAACAUGUAUGGUAUCAAUUUUCACAUCUCAAAACCCUUCAGAUCUGUUUUUUUUUUUUUUUUUUUUUUUUUUUUUUUUUUUUUUUUUUUUGCAUCAUAUUUCGUGAUUCCUAACCGUAAUCUGUUAAUUAGAAGAGUUAUUGUCAUGGAAAUUUAGUUUCUUUUGCAAAUAAAUUUUUUUUUAUCUGAUUUUGAACUGAUAUAUGCAUGUAUCGAUUGGGGAGAGUAGUGAUGUAUUUGAAUGCAGUGAUUAGUUAAAAUAAAAGGGGGAAAGUGCUUCUUUUUGCAGCAAUUUUCUCUUUUACAUAAAAUUACUUUGAUCUAGUUUGAAGUGAUACAAUAAUUAGUGAUGUAUUACGCAAAAAGGGCUUCUUUUUGAAGUUUUACAGUGUUCGGCAUAUUGUGUGUGAGCAAAAAGGGCUUCUUUUUUUUUUCAUUUUUCAUUUUUUUUGGAUGAAUUCAAUUUAAAUGAAGGCUCAUAUCCCUAAUUGAACUCGAAUAAUUUCGAAAGCAUUUGGGCCGGAGUGUUUGGCAUUUAUAUUUGUAUUUAAGAUCUAUCCAAAGCAUUUGGAAAUUGAAUUGAAAAUUAAUUCUGCUAAUCUUUUUCUAGAAAAUGCCACAAUUUACAAACAAAUUAGAGCUAAUUUUAGUUUUUUAAACUGUUAAUAUUACAGACGCCUUAUGCUGGUUGUGAUGUUAAAAUCAUUUAUUGGAGUACGCUGCGCGCUAGUCUUUUCUUCUAGUUCUUUGUUCUGUAAGGGGGUAUUCGGUUCCUUAGAAAAGUGUGAAAAACUAUUUUUCGGGAAAAAUGUUUUCCAUGGAAAACACCUUUUUCACAGUUCACACUACUUUUCCAUGAAAUCUGGAAAAAAACUUUUUCAGAAAAACUACUUUUCAAAGGAACCAAAUGGACGAAAAAUACUUUUUCAGCCGGAAAACUAUUUUCUGGGAAACCUAACACCCCACCCCGUGAUGGCUUGUUUCAACUUUUUAGGCCCUAAGCUUUUAAUUGCAAUGCAUAUCUCUGGUAGUCGAGGAAGAGGACUGUAAUUUCAUUCGCUUAUUUGAGUUUUCUUCUUCUUUAAUUGCUGCACUUUUUGAUAUAGAUGUGCAGGUUUGAAGGUUUUCCUAUUCAUUACUCAGAAAUUCCCAGGAAAUUUUCUGUCCUAUUUCCUGACAAUGGCAAACUUAGAUUGCCUGAUUAUAUCUUAGUCUUGAUGCUUUCAACAACUAAUCUGGAUACAAAAUUGUUAUUUUGGCGCACUAUGUAAACGAAGAACAAAUAAUACACAAAUAUUAAUACUUUGUUUUCUGGGUGUGUUGUUAGGAUUAUACACAAUGAUGGCUGCUGUUUCACCAUCGCAAAUAUUUUUGCGAUACUUACUUCCGCAUGCAUUCAUUUGUUCGCACAAGCAAAUUACACGCACCAUGUAUGUCUAUUAUUUUUUCAAUCCUUGUGAUUAACUUUCCAUCAAAUUUUCAUAAACACUAAUAAGAAGAGUAUCCGAGGAGAGUGAACAGUAACUUUUAAUAGGUUAUUGUAAGCAACUUUUCACUAUGAACUUGAUCUCGUUGUAGGAAUUUCAGAGCACGAGGGACUCAAAGGCAUCUAAAAUCAUUUCAUCAGUCCUUCAGGAGAUCAUAUAUGGCUGUACAAAUGGAAAAUGGGCAACACUCUAGUUCACGCGGUUCUCUUAUAGUCUUUGAAGGAUUAGACCGAAGUGGGAAAACAUCGCAAUGUGGUAAGCUGCUCUCGUACUUGAAAGGCGAAGGUUUAUCAGUUGAAGCUUGGCGAUUCCCGGACAGAAGCACUGGCGUCGGGCAAAUGAUUUCUUCUUAUCUUGCAAAUCAGUCGAACUUAGACGAUAGAGCAAUCCAUUUGCUUUUUAGUGCAAAUCGAUGGGAGAAAAGGUUCUGUUCUUUCCUUAGUAAACUGUUUGUAUUCGUUGAAAGCAUAUUGGCAAAAACUAUUUGACUAAUUCCCCAUUUACAGAGCUCUGAUGGAAAACAAGCUACAGAGUGGAAUCACACUCAUUGUUGACCGUUAUUCUUAUUCUGGUGUCGCUUUUUCGGCUGCUAAGGGACUUGAUAUCGAGUGGUGUAAGGUGAGUUACAUCAGUACCCAGAUGAUUUUUUGAUUAAAGAAGGCUGCUUAUCUGUUUAUAUAUAUAUAUAUAUGUAACAUAACAUGAAUUAUGCCAUUUCCUGCAGGCGCCGGAAGCUGGUUUAAUAGCUCCAGAUCUUGUGAUAUAUCUAGACGUACUGCCAGAGGUAGACAACUGAAAUUCUAUUUAUUGAUAAUCUUUUCAAUAUCCUAGAGUAUGAUCGAUCACUGGGCUGUCCCUGUGCUUCUGAAUCGAACUGUUUGUUACUUUGCCACAAGGUUAGAGCCACAUUCAGUUAAUUUUGCUGUAGAAUGUCCUUUUUAGCCUUAUUUCAAUUGAACUGUAAUUGCUAAAUCAUCAUCAUUAUAUGGGCAUAGGGGUAUAAUGAUCAUUUUAUUAGAAAAUUAAGAUUUACCUUUUACGAUCAAGUAGUUGUAAUAUAUAAAAAAAGUUUGUGGACUAUAGUAUUUAAGGACAAAGAACUGGAACCAACUUCCAAUAUCAUGAUCAUACGAGGAUUGCUCGGAUAACAUCUUAUUGUUGUAGAUGAUAUAUGUGUGUUCUUAUGGACUGAAGCUAAUUAAAAAAGAUGAAUCUAUGAUCAUUUUAGACUGGUUGAAACUUGCAACCAGAGUGAAUUAUCGUGUAUAAGUAAUUUGAAUGGCUUAUUUCUUUGCCGCAGAUCCUUGCAAUACCAAACUUUUGGCUCUUUUAUUUUUUGGUAUAAUAAAUUUUCAAUGAAUUUGUGCUAUUUUAGAAAGCAGCUGAAAGGGGAGGUUACGGCACUGAGCGGUACGAGCAACUUGAGUUCCAAAAAAGGGUUGCAGAGCACUACAAAACACUCCAUGAUGAUUCUUGGGAGGUAAUUUUCAGCCUCAAGAAUAUACUAACUCAGAAGCCCUUUACGUUCUUCAGUUCAAGGAUUUAAGUGCCCAUUGGCACGGGCUGUAUCCAUCAUACCAAUAAGAUAUCGGCACGAUAUAGCCUCAGUGCCGAUGGCACUGGUUAAAACCCUCUAUUCUUUAAAUUAGUAAAUAAUUUUCUCAAUACAAUUCAAAAGAUUUGAUAAAAAUGCAUAAUAAACGGUUAGAAUAUUUUGCUGCUAAAGAAAAUAAAUAUUUCAUGCUAUUAUGUAUCGGCAUACAUGAAUUUUUGGUGACCGACACACAUCGGCACGGCCUGACACGCACUGUGCCGGAAAGUUUCUAGCACGAUCCCUUGCCACGGCACUUAAAUCCUUACUUCAGUUGUUUCCUUAAUUCAUUCUGAUGUUUGGGAACUAGCUUCAACUAACAUAUUGGUGUUCAUGCAUUUCAUUUCGACAAUUGUUUUGAGUUUAUAUUGUAUGCUUGCACGAAGGAUGAACUGAACCAUUUGUCCCCAGCCUUUUUUAUACGAUAGGGUCCCCGACCUUUGCAUUUUCUUGUGAUCCUGCCCCUUCGUACUGUUGAAAAUGUAUUAUUCGAGUAAGUUUCCGCUAUCGGUUAUAUGAUGAUGUAUUUUUGUUAAGGACUCGGAGAUUGUUCUGAAGAUGCCUUGAUUCAAUACUUUUUAUACUAUGUAAUUAAGAUAAAAAUAAGAUUUUCUUUUAUUGUUUGAACUAGCACGACCCAAGUUCGUCGACUUCUCUAUAGGCCUGAGGGACCUUUUCUUUUUACGGAUUUAUUUGAAUUUUAUUAUUAUCUUCGAAAUAUGAGGCAUAUUAAUCUCCCCUUUUUUAUAAAUCUACAUGUAAUUUUCUCUUUCUUCUCCUUUUAGAACUCUGUCCUCUUUGCAUCUUCAUUUUUCUUACAUCGGAACCCCCAAAUUACGCGGUUGAUGUAAAUUUUUUUCUCCGAUUCUGCGCUUCAUUUCAGGUCAUUGACGGCUGCCUCUCGAUGGAAGCUGUGCAGCAACAGCUGAGAGAGCUCGCGACUAAUUGUGUAAAGACGUGCCAACGAGGAAAGCCUCUUGUCAGCCUCUGGUCGACCAAAUAGAUUCGACUUCCGAGUUCAAACAACGAAGCUGGAUUUAGUUUCGAUCGUUAAGCUCGAAUCAUAAAGCUUACUGAGCUCAACUCGGCCUUAAUCUUAUUCUAUAAGGCGGAUCGGAAUCGGCAAUGUUUCUACUUACUCUGCUCAACUCAGCCUUAAUCUUAUUCAAUUUGGUUGAAAUGGAAGAAUUGUGUUUUUCUGAGUGUUUUUUGAGACAGUAGAUUAAUUUUUUUGGGGCAUUGGUUAGUGGAUUGUGAAAGUGUUUAGUGGAAACUAAGAUGUUCUUUAAAACUUGAAAUUAAUGGAGAGUAUUUAUUUAUUGUUGUUUAAUCAGAGUAUCAAAACUCAGUUGUUUUCUUUUUAGUGUUUACUCUAGACUUUGUAUAAUUUUGAUUUCUUUAAAGCCUAUACAAAAAUUGGAGCUUCAAGCACCAUUAAUGGUAAAUUACACCAUGGAUGCAUAAAAUCUAACAUUUGUUUCAUUCGCAAAUAAUGAGAUAGGGAUCAAUUGAUUUGGUCGCUCCACUAUCUGAACAUGAUUCUGUUGUCACAUCAUAUGAAGUGAAUAAUGUGGUGUGGCAUCUGAAUUAGUAGUCAUAUUUUUUUUCACGAUAUGACCAGACAACUGAAUCAUCAGCUACGAAGUCAUCCAUUAUCGAAGUAUUUACGCAAUUAAAACAAAAAUUAAAGUUUAGUACAUUAAUCGAAACGCAUUUUUAAGUAUCAAAGGGUGUUGCUUGCUCCUUAAUCAUUUACUUCUCCAAGACAUUCUUUUAUCAUCUUGAAGUAAAGUGGUUAUUUCUUACCCAUUAAUUCAUCUCCAAUUAUUGGUAAUGGGACCCAAAAUAAUUAGUAUGAAAAAUUAAAAGAAAAACAUUAUUUAUAUUUAUUAUAUUAAUAUAGAUACAUAUUGUAUUGGUUAAUAUGGGAGCAAAAGGAAAAGGAAUUCAUUCACAUGCAAAAAAAAACCCUAGAUCCCAUGCUAUUUUGUAGGUGGCUCCCACGUGCACACGUGUAAGCAACUAUUUUGAUAUGUACCUUAUAUAUUCACUACAAUACAAAAACAAACAACAUGUGACUAGGGUUUUAUUAGUAGGAUACAAAAAGUUGCAUGCUGUAAAAUUGUACUAUAUCUACAAUUGAAAAAUAGGUGAAAAUGUUUAAGAACUAACCUUUUGAUUCUAUUAUUUACAUUUUUUAAUAUUUUGAUUUGAAGACGCAAUUUUUAAAUUUAUUUGAUUUAAAUCAUUCGGUGGCUCUUCUACCUAUAUGCUAAUUAAACAUACAAAAAUAAAUAAUGUAUUCAAAUUUUGAGAUUAAAGAAUAAUUAACUGACUCAAAUCAAAUAAAUUGUUAGAGAUAUAUUAUACUCAGUAUGAGCAAUAAGUAUUUUCAUUCCCACUAUAACUAAAUUUGGCGUGUCUUGUGGUAGUGUUGGUGCGAUCCUUCGAUUUAAGACAACUACAAUUGAGAAGGGGGAUAUAAUUAUAAAUAUGGUUGAAAACAACGACAGUUAUAAAUUGGAGCUUCGAUAGAAGAGAUGAAUGGAAAGGAAAGUUCACAUUUUAGGUGCAGAAUUCCUCUCCAACUUUUUGCUUUUUCAACUACAUGCGAUUUAGGUGCAGGUCGAUAUUUAGUAGUUGACUUGCAAGUUUCAACUAUAGCUGCGACAAAUCAGAACAAAUUUUUUCAAUUACUUAUAGUUGCAUCUACAUUGCAGUUUUAGACGUAGCGAACCAGCCAGAUCCUAACAUGCACCACAUUAAAAAUGACUUGGAGAUCAAAUUCUUUUUGUUCCUUCCAUUCACUAAAGAUAUAAUUAGAAAAAUUUUCACUACAAAGGUUGUCUAAUUGGGCUCAACUUACUUUUGAUUCAUGUACAUUUCCGAUUCGAAUUCGAUCCAUAUCAAAAGCGCCGUAUUGGCUUCCAAAUAAAUAUUUUUCGUAGGGCUCCAGACCGAGAUCUAGAUCUGAAUACGAAUCCAAUAAGCUAAAGAAUCCAAUUUGUGGGUCCAAAUUAAAGUGGAAUUUUGACUAGAUUUAGAUUGGAUUAUUGGAAGGUUAGAAGGGACCAUUUACAUACCCUAAUCACAUGAGUGGUCCAUUGAAUCUCCUUCUCCUACAAUGUAAUUCCAAUUAAGUACUACACAAUUAUUUAGGACCACUACAAAAGUGUUACUUUUUGUAGUUUUUAAAGCAUGCCAUGAAAAGCUCCAAACAGAAAGAAAAGACAAUUUUAAAUUCUAUCCAAUUUUAAGAUACCUCUUGAAAAGAAAAAAAAGCUAUAUCGGAGUAUUUUUUUUUUUUAAAGUAAAUAUAUUGCCUUUAAUUUACACUUUAAUUAUUUCCGUUGAUAAUGAAAAUUCACAAAAAAAGUCCACUAAAUCUUAAUUUGUGCUAUCUUAAAAGGUAUUGUUUGAAUAAUAUUUUAAGAUUUUUUAAAACUAAUUUAUAAAUGAUAAAAUAAAAAGGGGGUUAGCUAAUAAUAAUAUGAGAUAAACGCGAAUUUUUUACAUAUUUUUUCACAGCUGGAUUUUAGAUAUGAAUAUCGACAUAUUUAGAGAGAUCCUACAUGUGCAACUGUAGUAAAGUGUAAAUCUUACGCUCUAAUCAUUUAAAAACUAAUAUUUACUCACUAUCUUAUCAAUAAUUUUUUUUUGUAAUACUAAAAGACUAAAAAAUAUUUUUAAACUCUUAUAGAAUAUACAUGUAGUAUUUUUUUUAUAUAUUUAAGAGAGUUUUUUUAUUUUUUUUAAAUGGUUUUCCUUGGAUGUGACAUCUCACCAAAAAAAAGAGAAUUAAAAAACAAAAACAUGCACAGCUGGAUUAUGUAGAUGAUGUUGUUUCCUUCUCUGUAGCUAAUCCCUUACCAAGAACAUCAAGAACAUGAAGUUCUUUGCUAGCCUUUUGGGGAGCAAAUUUUCUUGGCCUAUUUAAUUGUGGGUCAGCAAUUUAUAGACUUAUCACUCCAUUAUCUGUUGAGGCUGUAGGAGAUAGGCCUAACCUUAAUUUAUUAUUAUAUUUUCAUGAUUAAAAGGAUAACAUAUUGCUCACUUAUAAAAUUUUAUAAUUUUGUGAAGUUACUGACGCAGUAAUAUAUUCUGGGAGACCGGCAGAGUGAUUCUAAUAAUACCAACCACUUGAUUAUCAGCUUUUUUGUCAUUAGAUGUAACCUUUUGACCAUUUCUGCCUCUUGAAUCAUACUAAUCCAUAACCACCACUAAAUUCGUGUGGCCGGCUAUCAUUCUAAUUCUACAAUUCCUUUUAGAGAUGUCAACGAGUCGGAUUCGGGACAAAUUUUUAAAAACCCGAACCCGAACCCAACUCUAAACCCGAGACCCGAAUCCGAACCCGAACCCGACGGAUUUUAAAAAUUCAUAUCCAAACCCGAACCCGACCAAAAAUCCGAAACCCGAAUCCGAACCCAAACCCGAAUCCGAAAAUUUGAACCCGAAACAGUUAUUUCUUUUUUCAAUAUUUCAAAAUAUAUUAUAUUAAAUCUAAAUUUUUAAAAUAUAAAUUCAAAUAUAACACCAAAUAUAUAUAUAUAUUAUAUAUAAAUAAAUUCAGGUUCGAGUCGGGUUCGGGUUUGGGUCGGGUACAAUCAAAAUCCAUAUCUGAAUCCAUAUUCGUCGGGUUUCUAUUUUUUAUAUCCAUAUCCGAAUCCAUAUUCAUAUCCAUCGAAUAUAUCCGUUUCAUUCGGGCUCAGGUUCAGAUAAAAUUUCGGGUAUCCAUACGUAUUGACAUUCAUAAUCCCUUUAUCCUAAACCUAAAAACAAACAAACACAAAUGACUUGCAGACUUGGUGCUAUUAGAAGUAUUUCAGCACAGUUGUGUAUUUUGGCUCUUUGGGUUGUGAAUCUUGUGAUAACUAUCACCUCACAAUUUAGAAAAAUACUACUUGUCUACUUGUACACUCUAGAAGGGAGUUGGUGAUUUACAUAUCUCUUCAUCCAAGGGUUCAUGAGAUAUUUAAUGUUAAAGAAUUAAAAAAUUCGGUUUCUCGAAUGUUGAAUUAUGUGUUCUGAAUAAUAUUUAAUAUGAAUCGUCGAUUUGAAAGCUUUAUCAGUGAAAAUGACUUGUAGUAAGAAAGCGAUCGUGCUUAUAAGAGUAUAAUAACUGAACUCAUAUGUAUAUAAAGGAAUUAUUAUAAAUAUUUGUCAUUGCACUAAAUAUUUAUUUACAUUUAUUUGAUGAUAUAUAAAGAAAUUAUUGUAAAUUCUAUAUGGUGUUCUAAGGAGUGAGGAAAAUAAAAAUAUUUUAUUUGCAUUUUGCUUUCAAACACUACCAUCCAUAAAUUAUAAGUAUAGAAUAAAUUGAUUAUUAUUCUGUGGAACAUUUACUCUUAUAGUGAGCCAUACUUUUAACAUAACUAUUUUUAUUAUGACUAAAAUACAGAAAAAUUUUUAUAAACAUAUGCUUUUUUUUAUCUUUUCGCUCUCAUUUUUAAAAAUCUAUAUUUUGCCCUCUUAAAAUUUCAAAAAUAUUUUUAGGAGGACACGACGUUAACGAAGAGGGCAAAAUAACCAAAUCGCCCUUAUUUCUUCUAUUAAAAAAAUAAAAUUUUAAUAUAUUUCUAUUAUUUUGAAGGGCAUUUUCGGUAUAAAUCAUAAAAAAUUGACAUAAUAGAGAUGGAACCCUGACGGGGGGAGCUAAAUGUAACAACUUGAUAUGUUGAGGGGUAAAAUGUAAAUUUUUAAAUAUUAGAAAGAGAAAGUAAAAAAAUAAAUAUUUAUAAGGAGAUUUUUCACUACAACAGAAUUAUGUUAUAGGAACACAAGUUUGGGACACUUUUGUGUAAGUGCCCCUUUUAUGUCAAAACAUUUAAAAAAAUCUACUAAGGGCUAAGGCCUAAAUAUAAAGCUCAAUCCAACCAAAAAUAAAAGGUUAUUCUACUCAACCCACCCCACCCAGUCCAUUCAGCCCGAUUACAAACAAAAAGUAAAAAAAAAAAAAAAAAAUCAAUUACCGUCUCUCCUUCUCCGCUCACUAAAUCCACUGAAACCCUAGACGAAGAGCUCUUCGCUCUCCUCCUCCUCUGUCACCACAGCCAACGAGAUAGAGUUCCGGCAGUUGCUAAAUGCUUACAUAAGUAUUGAUAAAUUAGUAGCACUCUUUUUAAAUUAUACCGACACUCUUAAACUGUCAAUAUAUACUUAGCAACCCCACAUAUAGCAACAUUUUUUAAAAAUGUUGGUAAUUUAGCCAGCAAAAUUGAUAUUUAAAAAUGUCGCUAUAUAUUAUUUUUGUUGUAAUAUUCUUUCAUUUAGCCUUUUAUUAUUGAUAAAAAGAUAUAUAUUAAAUUCAGUAAUUAAAUAUAUCUAAAUUUGAUCACAAACAAUAAUUUUUUUAUUUUUUUUAUUCUAAAAGUAAAAAAAUUAUUUUUUUAACAAUUUGAUCCCUCAUCAUAACUCUAGCACAUGGUGAAACAUGUGAAUCCCACUAAUAACAUAAAACCCAUGUGAUUACUCUGACAUUUUUCUCAUGCAUUAUGUAUUGCUUGCAUUAUAUUAGAGCAGCAUAUAUGGAUUGAGUACACUGGUUACAGCACAAGGACAAGAGAAAUUAUAGCAUAUAUAUAUACACACUAGAAAAGUAUUAUUUGAAUAAAAUUAUUAAAAUAAUCAGAUAUUUUCUAAUUUAUUUUUUAUAAAUAUUUUUGUAUCUAAAUUUAUAGAACCUGACAUAGUGAUGAUAUAUUUCUAGGAGCAGGACUGUUGUGCUCCCGUGCUCCUGAGCCGUUUUCGAUGAUAAAAUUUUCGAAUCGAUGAUCGGUUCCGUUAGACUUGAUCUAGCGUAUUUGAAGAUUUUAGAAAAUAAUAUUUACGACUUUUUGAUAUCAUUUACCUAACAAUCAAAAGGAUUCAAAAUCAAUAAUUUUUAACGGCUGAAAAUAAAAAUUCUAUAAAAAGUUGUAAUAUAGCACUAAAAUUUUCGAUCAGAAAUAUUGAGCUUGUUGUAAAUAGUAUAAAGAAUUUUGUAGCAAAAUUUCAUCUGAUUUGAAUACUUCUAUACCGUUAAACUUGAAAACGGCAGAUAUCAAUCAUUAAAAAUUAUUGAUUUUGAAACUUUUCGAUCACUAGAUAAAUGAUAUCAAAAAAUCGCAAAAAUUAUUUUUUAGAAACUUCAAAUACGCUAGAUCAAAUCUAACGGAGCCGAUCGUCGAUUCGAAAAUUCCAUCAUCGAAAAUGGCUCAGGAGCACGGACGCCUUCGUACUCCUGAGAGCACAGCAGUUCCUGCUCAUAUUUCUAGUGUGAUUUAUCUGACAUUUAUUUUUAAUUUUUAUUUAAUUUAUAUAAUUUUGAGUUAGCAUUUCCAUGUCAAAAUUGUAUACAAGGGUGUGUGUGGUUACUCCUUAAAAUGGCCGAAAAAAAUUUUUAAGCCUGAAAAACUUUUUUUGGUUGUUUGGAUUAUGGUAAAAUGAUUUUCCUCGAAAACUUUUUUUACAUACUUGGAUGAAAACAGAGUUUUUCGGUUUCCGCCAUUUUUACGCGAAAAACGAAAACUCUUUACAAAAAACGCGGCUCAUCGAAGCGGGAAAAAACACGGUCCACGAGAAAAGCUUGUUCUCGUGGACCGCGUGAGAGGACCCACCAUGACCUCUCUUUCUAUAUAUAUACUAGUGAAUUACCCGCGCGAUGCUGCGGAUAUAAAAUUAUUUUUAUAAUAAAUUAUAUAUUUUUUAAUAUUUUUAUAUAGUUUUAUAAGUCUAACUAUUAAUUAAAAAAAUUAUAUAAAAAUAAUUAUGUGCAAAGUAAAUUUAUACAAUAAUUUAUUUUAUAAAAUUUAUAUGAAAAGAAUUUGAGAUAAAUCUAUCAAAAUAAUUUAAGAAAACCAAUAAAUAAAAAAUUGUAAACAAAAAUUUUUAAUAAAAAAUUAUCAUAUACACAUAGCUAUUUUCUAAAAUUUAGUCCUUGAAAUUAAAUGUUUACAUAUUUUUUAUACAGCGAUAUUUUUAUGAAUUAAAUUGUAUUAUUAGAUUAGAUUUUAUUACGCGAUUAUUACGCUAUUAUUAGAAUUUAGAGAUUAAAAUUUUAAAUUUGAAAAAGUUAAAAUUUGGAAUAAUAUAUAAUUUAAACAUAUAAAAUAUUAAAUUUUAAAAUUUAACUUUAAAAUUUAAACAUAUCAAAUUUAAAUUUUAUUAUAUAUAUAGAAGGAGAGAGAAAAGGAGGGGGGACACGUGUACUCUAAGGUCCCCAAACCCGCCUCCCCCCCCCCCCCCCCCCCCGCCUCCCCCCCCCCCCCCCCCCCCCCCCCCCCCACCCCCCCCCCCCCCCCCCACCACCCCCCCCCCCCCCCCCCCCCCCCCCCCCCCCCCCACCCCCCCCCCCCCCCUCGCCCGCCCCACCCCCCCCCCCCCCCCCCCCCCCCCCCCCCCCCCUCUUAAUGUAGUAAAUAAAAUAGAUAUAUAUAUAUAUAUAUAUAUACGUAUAAUUAUAUAAUAUAUUAUAUUAUAUAAUAGAAUAAGCUGAGAUAUAUUAUAUAGUAAAACUUUUUUUGACUAUCAAAUUCAACAGCCUUGGAUGAAAGUUGUAAAUUAGAUGUAAUUAUCAGCAUUAGAGUUAAGUGAUCCCCCUAUAUUGAGUGUCCUCACAGAAGUUAUAGUAUUAAUCCAAUGGUUUAGAAAAUGAUGAAAAGAGUUGAUCACCAAGGCUAAAAACUGCUAGAACAAUGGCAUUAUUCUACUAAUAGUUUAAUAAUAAUAAUUUAUAUUCAUUACAUAUUAUGUAUAUAUAUUUACAUAUUUUAUUAAUAAAGUAUAAACUUAUAAUAAUUAUUAUGUAGUAUGAUAAUUUUUUAUAUUAAUAAUAUAUAUAUAAUUAUGACAAAAUACAUACCAAUUUUUUCUAAUUUUAUUUUUCUUUUCUUUUCUUCACCAAAACUGCACGAAAAAGUUGUUUUUUUUUUAUAAACCAAAGCUAAAGAGCGUAAUAAUUUAUUUUCUCAGAAAAUUUUUUUUACAUCGAAAACUACUUUCACACGUUUUAUACGUGAAUCCAAACACCCCUUUAAGCACAAAAAAAAAAAAAAAAAAAAAAAAAAAAUGACCAUCUAACACAAGAACUUAUAUUAGGUUAUAAGUUUAUUUUUGAUUCUUCUACAUUUUUACUCUAUUUAUUAUUGGGGAUAAUUGCCUAUAUACCCCUCAUACGUUUGAAAAUAUUCGAUUUACCUCUACUUUUUUGUUCUUUCUAAAAUACCCCUCAUAUGUUCUACCGUUAUUACAAAAUACCCCCGCAGUUAUCUCUUGUUAAGUUAACUUAAGUUAAACGUGAGCUAAAUAACUAUCACAGUUAAAAAAAAUUAAAAUGUCAAUUUUGCACUUAACUUAAGGGCAAAUAAAAAAUAUUGGUGACGGUAGAGGGGUAUAUUAAAAAGGACCAAAAGUCAAAAUACUUUUUGUGCCCUUAACUUUAAGGGCAAAUAAGAAAGUCGGUAAUGGUGGAAGGGUAUAUUUGAAAGGACAAAAUAGAAAUUUUAUAGAGAUAACAGAGUUUAUUAAAAGAUUUUAACUCUAGAGAUAUAUUAGAAAUAGGUUGGAACGUAGAAAGGAUAUUUUCAAUUUUAGCCUUCUAAGAAGGAUAAAUCGAAAAGUCUGGAACUUUUUAUGGGUAUAUAAACAAUCACCCCUUAUUAUUGUUGGAAAGGUGAAUCCAUAUAUAACUUUAACCAGGGAUGUCAAUGGGUACGGAUACCCGAGAUUUUAUCCGAACCAAAACCCGAAUGAAAAGGAGAUAUCCGAUGGAUAUAGAUAUGGAUUCGGAUAUGGAUAUAAAAAAUAGAAACCCGACGGAUAUGGAUUUGGAUAUGGAUAUAAAAAAUAAAAACCUGACGGAUAUGGAUUCGGAUAUGGAUUUUGAUUAUACCCUACCCGAAUCCGAAUUUAUUUUGUAUUAUAUAUAAUAUAUAUAUAAAAUUUGAUGUUAUAUUUGAAUUUAUAUUUUAAAAAUUUAGAUUUAAUAUAAUAUAUUUUGAAAUAUUGAAAAAAGAAAUAACUGUUUCGGGUUCAAAUUUUCGGGUUCGGGUUCGGGUUCGGGUUCGAGUUUCGGAUUUUUGGUCGGGUUCAGGUUUGGUUAUGGAUUUUUAAAAUCCGUCGGGUUCGGGUUCUGGUUCAGGUCUUGAGUUUGGAGUCGGGUUCGGGUUCGGAUUUUUAAAAAUCCGCCCUGAAUCCGACCCGUUGACAUCUCUAUCUUUAACAAUAGAAAGGUGAUAGUAUGUACUCCUCUUAAUUAGUAGCUAUAAAUGUUUGGGCACACCCAUAAUAAUAUUUUGCCCAUUCUUAAAUAUCUCCUUCAAUCUUUCAUUUUUUUAAUUAAUAUAUCCUUAACUUUUGAUUUAAAUUUGAUUUUAAUGAAUAUAACCAAUGUUUUAUCGAAUGUACAAAAAAUUUCAGAUACCCACCUAUAUUUUAUCGAAUGUACACUUUAGUAUUCCGUUAUUUACAGAAUUUUCACUUUAGUAUCCAGUAAUUUUAAUUUUGUUAUUGAUUUAACCAGGAAAUAACAGGAAGAGAAAUAUGAAACUUCGGAAUACUUAAGUGAUACAUUUUUAAAUCAUAGGAUACUAAAAUGAGAAAGCGCGAAACUACAAUAGUGGUAUUUGAAGUUUUUCAAAAUUUAUAUAAUUCUAUAAAUAAAACUAUUUAUAAUUUUUUUAUUAAGGAUAAAAUAUAUAAAAUAAUCUCCUGAUCAUCCACGGUAAUGUAAUAUUUCCACUAAUCAAAAUUUUAUGAUAAUUUCACGAUUUCUAAAUAAUUUAAAUAAUUUAAAUAAAAAUAUAUAAAAUGAGGUUUUUUUUGCAUUUGGCCCCCUCAAAAUAGUUUUUUUCACAAAUAGUUCCAUCAAAUUUAUAAUUACAAUUUUGGCCCUAUCCCCGCCACACAUGUGCCACAUCAGCGCCACACAAGCUGGGUGGGGAGGGGCAUUAAAUUGAACACGAUGAAUCAUUCAUCAUAUUCAAAAUUUUAAACACGGUAAAUGAUUCACCAUGUUCCAUACUUAUACUUUUUUGUUUAAAACUUAUAUUUUUUCACAAUACAUAUAUUUCUUCCUAAGAUGCGGUAAAUGAAUUACCGUAUUCAACUUAUUCUAGCACCCCAACCCUUGCUCGCGUGGGGUCUAUGUGGCACCUGCGUGACAAGAAUUGGACCAAAAUUAUAAUUAUAAAUUUAAUAAAAUUAUUUAUUAAAAUAAUUUUUUUGAGGGAAAAAAUAUAAAAAAAAAAGGUCCUAUAAAAAGUUUUCAAAAUUUUUAUAUAUUGUCAAACUUUUAAACGAAUCAUCAUCAUGAGGAGCGGGAAAAGCAACUCACUUUCGAGGGCUUUACUUUUUGGAAAAGAUAGGAGUGACUGAUGCGAGGGAUUUGCUGACGGCAUUUUGGUAUCUCACGAAGUGGCAGUGCGGACAGUGCAGUCGCGCAGACUUCCGUCCCUCCCCACGUGACGCGCUGAGACUGCUGUCUGCCUCAGCCUUUUGCCCCUCAAAAACGGUUGGUUUACUUUCUGCCGGCCCAACACGGAGGGAAAUAUUGCCUGCACCCGGUGUAUCCGUACAUAUCCGUACAUAUCAUGAACCAUGCUUUAGAUAUUAUAUAACUGCUUGGUUGUUGUUUUGUUUUGUUUUUUUUUUUUACCCCAAGUGAAGUUCAGACGAAAGUAGACUUUUGAGUAAAUCAGAGUCCUGGAAAAAAUUAGUCCUCUUUCGCUGCUUGUUUUUGUGAAUCAUAAGCACUAACCGAUUAUUAUAAAAGUACGUGCUGAUAGAAAGAGCAUAUUCAUCACACUUAAGGGUUCAACCACAGCACUCAUGGGUUUUGAACUGACUCAACUUACCUAAACAUUAGAUUUAUUGUUGGGCCUCUGACCGUUAGGUCUCUUGUGGACCGCGGUUUACUCAAUUUAUUAGGCUCAGCCAAUUCAACUUAUUAGUCUCUCGAGUCUAUUAUUACGCACAUAAAGUUUGAUCUAUUUGAACCCAAUAAUAAAUAUCUAAUAGUUUUUAUAGCUUUAGCACUGAAGUUAUUCAGUUUUGCUAUUUUUUGGAUGGAAAGUGAAGGACAUAAAAAUUAAAGUUUCCCGACGUUAGUAUUUUAUUAUUUUUUAUCACUUUUUUGUUAAGUUAUGAUAAAUCAAAUAAUAACUGUGAAUAUUUAUGAUCGUAAACUACUUCAUAUUUCGUGAAAUGAGCAUAUUAAUGUUUUAAAAUUAAAAUUCAAUUCAACAGAUGCUAGAGAAGAGCUAUAACUCUGAUAUAGGAGAGGCACAAUGUAUAGUUACAAAAUAUAUAUAUUUUAGGAACUUUUCUUAAUUAGUUGUUAUCUUUCAAAUUUAUAGAUUAUAUCAAGUUCCUAUUCUAAGUUUGUGACGGUUCUAUAAAAUAAAUAAUGAGAAAUGAUUCGGUACUUUUUUUAAAAAAAAAUAAAAAAGAUCUUAACCGUUGAUUAAUAGAGGGUAAAAAUGUAACUUUAAUACUUAGCAGGUAAAAGGAUUAUUUUAUUCAAGGUUAGUUUGGUAAUUAAAUAAUACAAUAUUUAAAGAAACUUUUAAUUGAGGUCCUAAAUUUAUGCAUUAAUUAGUACUAAUUUAGGAAAUUAAUUGAUUAACCAAAUUUAUGAAAUUAUUAGGCAUUAAUUUAGGAACCUACUUUAAAUAUUUUAGUGUUUCUCAAAUUAUGCAUAAAUUUAAAUUAUAGAAAUUUUAGAAAUAGUUUUAUUUCUAAAUACGAUGAAUUUAAAUUUUAAAAAUUAAAUACUUAAAAUUUAAAAGUGAAAUUUAAAUUAGAGGAAUUUCAUAUUACUAUUUAAAAACUAAAUUUCUACCAAGAUUUAAAAUACAGUUUAUUCGCACCAGUUUAAAACGUAAUGCAUAAAAAACUUAGAGAGUAAGAUUUCUACAACUAGAUUUCUCUAGAGGAAUUUCAUAUUACUAUUUAAAUUUUAAAUUCAAUGAUUUAAAAACUAGAUUGAACCGAUUGAUUUGACUGAUCAGACUUUGACCUAUUCUAUCAAGAAUCUGAUUUUAACCUAUUGAACCGAAUAACAUUAAGAACAAUUUGGAACCGGUAAAGAUAAUAAAUAUUUUAAACAGAAUAAUAAUUUAACUGUUAGAGCUAAUAAAUAUUUUAAAUAUAAUUUUAAACAUAUAAAUUAAAAAGAUUAGAAUUAUUGGUGAGAAAAAAAAUAGUUAGGAAUUUGAAUUCGAAUCUGACUAACAAUCACAAAACUUAUUUCCGAACUCGACGGAUUUCAAAAAUCCAUAUCCAAAUUCAAAACUGACCAAUUUUUCGAAACCCAAAACCAAACCUAAACCAGAAGACUAGAAUUCAAACAAUUAUUUCUGUUUACCAUAUUUCAAAGUAUUUAUAUGAAACUUAAAUUUUUAAAAUAUAAAUUUGAAUAUAAUAUUAAAUUUUAAAUUUAAAAGUGAAAUUUAAAUUAGAGAAAUUUUAUAUUACUAUUUAAAGUUUAAAUUCAAUGAUCAUAUUGUCAAAUCAUUUGAAAUUUUCCUUAUAUGAAAUGUCAAAUUAUGAAAGGAAAGAUAGAGAGAGCAAAAGGAAACAAAGAAAAAAUAAAAAUUUUAAAAAUAUAGUAGAUGUAAAAUGACUAAAUUGCCCACGUAUUAAAAGACAAAAAUAUCCUUUUUUGAGGUACCUGGUGACCGGUACCUCUCCCAAAGUGACCUGCUAUUGCAGGUCACAAUUUAAAAAAAACUAAAUCUGAGUCGUUGAAUAUGCGUGAAUGAACGGUAACCAAAAAAAAAAAGUAUAGAAGCAUUACUCAUAAAUAAUUAUUUGAGGUAUAGUAAGAAAAAAAAUAUUAUUAACUUUUCUAGCUAGUUUGCUUGCCAAAAUAUUCUUUUCUCAAUUUUUUUUUUGACGAGAGUAGGUCCAUAGUAAUUGUUAGAUGUGUCACGAAAUUCGGCUAUCAGUUUUUGAUUCGGUGUCCCUAAUUUGCCGACAGCUUUAUGGUGCGACAAAUUUUUUUAAAAAAAUUAUGAAGAAAAAAAUAGAUGUGUGUGGUGUUAAAGAAACUCGAUAAGGAGCAAACAGAUCAUUUUCUAUUCUUUUGCCCUGGAGGCGUGACAACAUGUCGAAAUCUUCAUAAAUUAUACUCUCUUUUUCGCAUAGUGGAGUUUUCUGUUUGGGUAUUCCUAAUUCGCCGACAGCUUCGCGGUGCGGCAAAUUUUGAAAAUAAAAUUUACAAAGAAAAAAGUGGAUGUGUGUGAUGUCGAAGAAACCCGAUAAGGAGCAAACAGAUCAUUUUCUAUUCUUUUGCCCUAGAGACGUGACAACAUGACGAAAUCUUCAGAAAUUAUACUCUCUUUUUCGCAUAGUGGAGUUUUCUGUUUGGGUGUUCCUGAUUCGUCAACAGCUUUGCAGUAUGACAAAUUUUGAAAAAAAAUUUAUAAAAAAAAAAAAUGGAUGUGUGUGAUGUUGAAGAAACCUGAUAAGGAGCAAACGGAUCAUUUUCAAUUCUUUUGCCCAAGAGGCGUGACAGCAUGUGGGAAUCUCCAUAAAUUAUACUCUUUUUUUUCGCAUAGUAAAGUUUUCUUCUCCUUCGUCCGUAAUUUUUUUUACGUAAGUUUUAUAUUCUUUUUUAUUAUUUUGUUGUUUGUCUACUCUACAAUCGUCAUUUUUCGUUUCUAUUUGUGCGCUCCUUGUAACAAUAAUCAUAAUAUAUAUAUAUAUAUAGAAUUAGGCUGGAAUACUAUUAAUAGUAAAACGCUCUUUUUGCUAUCAAGUUUUUAACCCUUGGAUGAAAAAUUGCAGGAUCAUGAUGAUAUUAGUCGGUUAGAGUUGAGUGGUCCCCCUAGGGUUGAGUGGUUCCCACUGAGUUAUAGUAUUUAAUCCAAUAGUUAGAAAUAAUGAAAAGAGUUGAUUCAAAGGCUAAAAACCCGGUAGCAACAAUAGAAUUUUGCUACUAAUAGUAGCCCAGUCCAACUCUAUAUAUAUAUAUAUAUAUUAAUACAUAAUAUAAAACUUAGGUUUUGAUACUAUUAAUAUUAAAACGCUCAUUAUUUCUAUCAAUUUCUAACACCUCGAUGGUAAAAAAAUUGUACGGGUCAGAUAUAUAUACGUUAGCGUUUGAAUGUCCCGUGGUUGUGUGGUCCCCUGGGUUAUAGUAUAUUAAUACCAACGGUUAGAAAUAUAUGAGAAAUUGAUCCAUCAAGGCUAAAAACGGUACAAAAUGGGAUUUUGCUACUAUAGUAAGCCAAGUCCAACUCUAUAUGUAUAUAUAGAGAGAGAGAGUUUUGCUCAGAAUACUUCGGUACUGAACGGUUUCGUUACUACUGAUUUGAUUCGAUGAUACGGUCUUCCAAAUUGAUGAUCCGGCAACCGUAACAUAAUCCUAUAACUAUUAAUAAAACUAUCUGUAAAAUCAAUUUCACAUAUUUCCGAUAUUUUAUCUUGUCCAUCAAGUGAACAGAAAAAUGAAUGGCUGAAAAUGAAUAUCCUUUAAAAGUCAUGAUACAAUUUUUAUAUUUGAGAUCUAGAGUCUAGAUCUUAUUUUAAAUAGUUUAAAAUUUUUUUAACAAAAAUUUAGUUGAUUUGAACUCUUCUAUACCGUUAAACGAGCAAACGCACUAUAUCGGCUAUUAAAAUUAUAGAUUUCGUGACCCUUUGAUCGUUCAGUUAGUGAUGCCAAAAAAUCAUGAAAUUUGAUUUCUAGAUAAUUUAAAUGGUCUAGAUCAUGUUCAACGGUACUGAUCGUCGAUUUGGAAGCUUUAUCAUCAAAAAUAAAUCGAUAGUAAACUGAGCAGUUUAGUACCGAUAGUAGGCCAGUCAAACUCUCUAUAUAUAUAUUUAUAUAUAUAUAUAUAUUCUUUUUUUCAGCUAAAAUGCAGGAACUCACUUUCAAAAUAUUAUGCGAAGAAUAAUAAUAUAUUUUGAAUUCUGAUAAUUAUUGCAGUUAUAGAACUGUCUAUUACUUUUGAUAAUUACACGAUACUAGUCUAAAAAUCACUAACAAAUUCGAUAAAAUCUAUAUUUUUUUUACUAAAAAAUUACUUAAUUUCAACAAGUUAGAAGUUGAGACGAUUUAAAUAAAAAAAGGUUAAAAAAUUGUUAAGGACGCUAUUGUAGAAUUGCCGGUUCUUGAGAUGUCUUUGUAAAUUUAUAUCAGAAAUUGUGAAACAANUUUGGUGGGGUUAGGUGGGAUUAGCUCAACCCAUCCAAAAUGGGCUAUCCCUAGUUAGGUGGGGUUAGCUAACCCUACUCAAUUUUGGAGGUGUUUGGGGAUAAUAUGAGGUUUAAGGGGUUAUUCAUCAUAGAUUUAGCAUUUCUGUUAAAUAUAAAAAUAUUUAAAUAUCGUUUUUUAACAACUUAAGUUUUUAGAAUACGACGAUUGUUUCACAUGGUAUCAGAGCAGAAUCCCACGUCAUAUGUCAACUAAAACGUCUCGAGUCCAGACGUGAGGGAGAGUGUUAAAAAAAAAUUUAAAUACCGUUCUCUAACAACAUAAAUUUUUAGAGUACAACGAUUGUUUCACAAUUUCUGAUAUAAAUUUACAAAGACAUCUCAAGAACCGGCAAUUCUACAAUAGCGUCCUUAACAAAUUCGAUAAAAUCUAUAUUUUUUUUACUAAAAAAUUACUUAAUUUCAACAAGUUAGAAGUUGAGACGAUUUAAAUAAAAAAAGGUUAAAAAAUUGUUAAGGACGCUAUUGUAGAAUUGCCGGUUCUUGAGAUGUCUUUGUAAAUUUAUAUCAGAAAUUGUGAAACAAUCGUUGUACUCUAAAAAUUUAAGUUGUUAGAGAACGGUAUUUAAAUUUUUUUUUAACACUCUCCCUCACGUCUGGACUCGAGACGUUUUAGUUGACAUAUGACGUGGGAUUCUGCUCUGAUACCAUGUGAAACAAUCGUCGUAUUCUAAAAACUUAAGUUGUUAAAAAACGAUAUUUAAAUAUUUUUAUAUUUAACAGAAAUGCUAAAUCUAUGAUGAAUAACCCCUUAAACCUCAUAUUAUCCCCAAACACCUCCAAAAUUGAGUAGGGUUAGCUAACCCCACCUAACUAGGGAUAGCCCAUUUUGGAUGGGUUGAGCUAAUCCCACCUAACCCCACCAAACCUCAACCAAACACUAUUUUUUAUUCAGAAUAACCCACUAUUCUUUUUUCUCCCACCUACUCCAACCAAACACUAUUUUUCAACCCCCACCAAAUACAAAAAUACUCUAAUUUUACUUUAACCCUGAACUUAAUCCUAUCUCUGAAAUAACUAAUUUUUUUUAACCCAUACCAAACGGUAGCUUGGAGUUUAAACAAGUUUAAAUAGAUUUUAGUAUUAAAAAAAUUAAUAUAACAAGUGAGAAAAAAAAAAAGUUUUUUGAUGAACUAAUUGUAAGAUCUACAAGUUAUAAGAGGUGCUUUGCUCACCUGAUCCACACCUCUCUCUCUCUCUAAUAAUUAAUUCUCCAUAAAUUAAUGGGAAGUAGUAGGACAUAUGCAUUAUCACAUAGCAACAUCUUUUUCUAUGUUUUUUCUUUUCUUAUCUCUCUACAUUUUUGGCUCACUUACCCAUAGUCCAUAGAUUCUCUCUCUCUGUUUCUCUCUCUCUCAGCUUCACCUACACCUAUACUAUAAUAGCUAUGUAUAUGAGAGAGAAAGUGCAAUAACAUCAUUACUUGCACUCAGUGUCACCAUACACUGCACACCAAAAAUUUUUACUACAAUAAAAAUAAUGUAUAGCAACACUUUUAAAUAUUAGUAUAAAUAAAAAAAUUAUUUCUGGCUAAAUUACUGACAUCUUUUAAAAAUAUUGCUAUAUAUGGGGUCGCCUUAAUAUUUGGCACCCACUCCUCUAGCAACCUAUGGCGGAGGGAACAUAGCGAUCGUAGUCCUCUACGAUCCCUGUGGGAUUCUCACGGCCGAACUUCAGCCGCCGGAAUCUUACCUCGUCGGCUGCGGCGGCAGAGGAGGAGAAGGGAAGAUGGUGAUCAAUUUUUUUUUCUUUUUUAUUUGUGAUCAGGUCGAGUGGGCUGGAUGGGAUUGGUUGAGUAUAGGAACUUUUUGUUUUUUAUUGGAUUGAGCUUUAUAUUUAGACCUGACUAAAUUUUUUUAAAAAAAAUGGUAUAAAUGAAAUAUUUACACAAAAGUAUUUCAAAAAUAUGUCUCUAUAAUCUAAUUCUUAUGUAGUGCUUAUAACAUAGAUCAUAAUCAAAAAAAAAUUAUAACAUUUGAAGUAUAUAUUGUAUAUUAAAAAAAAAUAAAUUUUGAACAUUAUAUCUUAUAAAUUAAACCAUAUUAUUUUUCACACUAUUAACUUGUAUAAUAGUUUGAAGUUUAUACUGUAGGUUCUUUAAAUAAUAUUUAUUCAUUACCCACAUAAAUUGAUAUGCAAUUAAUGCAUUGCAGAUAUAGAUAUGUCAACAUUAUUUAUCUUAUAAUUUAAAAUAAUAUCAGAUAAUUUAAACACUAUAAAUAAAAUCUAUAAAAUUAUCAUGAGUUAUGUGGCACUUUGGUUCUAAGACUUUAAUCUAUUAUAGUUUUUGAUCCGAACUUUCUGAAUUAUUAUAAGUCCGACAACUUAAUUUAGUCAACCAAUUAAAUUUUAAUGUGUCACUAAUAUGACAGUAAUAUAGUAGUGGUGAGAUUGAUGAUACAGUUAUAAAUAAGAUGCUAUGUUAUUAUCAUAUCAAUGAUAAGUUAAUUUUUAAUUAAGUAAAUUAAGUUGAGAAAUUUAAUCGAAAUAAUUUAAAAGAUUUAAAUAAAAAUUAUAAUAAAUUAAAGUCUGAGGACCGAGCGUAAUUUAUUCAAAAUUAUAUUUGAUUUUAAAUUAUUGGGGAGUAAUAUUAUAGGAUGUGAUUGUAUGCUGAAAUAUACUUUAUAUUAUAUACACCUGGUCUAGUCAACAUGUUCUUCAUUGGUUGAGAGGAGUAACCAUUCCCAAGGUGUGAUUAUUCUACCUUUUCACCUCCCCCCUCCAUUGGAGCAACUCUCCAUUUCUAUUCUCUCUGGCCUCUUUCUCUCACCAAAACCCAUGCAGCUCUCCCCNAAAAAAAAAAAAAAAAAAAAAAAAUAUCUCUUCUCUCUCCUCAAUAUGUUAACGAGAAAGUCUACCUAUAAAACUUACACUAUAUUAUUAAUAAUCAGUCAAUAUUUUGUUAAUAAUUAUGAUGAGACAGAUGCAUUCAAAGAAAACAAUAUUCUUUUAUUUGAGAAAAAAAUAGCAUGCUAUUUGUUUCGUUUAUUUAUUUUAGAAAUAAACUUAGCUAAAAAUGUAAAUCAAUUAGAAUUCGAAUUUGAGACAUAAAAUAUCAACCACCAAACUCUUUGUCACUUGUAUUAGAAACAGUCGGUCAGAAAAUAUAAUUUUAUUAGUUAAAAAUGAUAUUUAUGAGUAAUAUAACUGAAGUAUUCUAGACUUGUUCAUAUGUUAAGACAUACGCACACACUCUCUUUUGCACCCCCAUUUGGCUCUUUGCAUAUUAUAGGAUCCAAUGGGCAUGAUGAGUCAUUGAUGCUUGUUAACUUAUUAUUGUAUAAAUGAGCUUCUGCUGCAGCACCCAUGUGGGCUUUUUGCUGAAGCUGCUCAGAAGCUUUUGCUUGUGAAAAAAGACCCACAAAAAAAAAAGAAAAAAGAAAAAAGAAAAAAGAAAAAUCUGAGAAGAAGAAGCAGCUCUCAUGGGUUCUUCUUUUUGGUCACUGGGGAGAGAUUGAAACCUUAUUAGAUUUGUUCUCAAAAACCUCCAGGUUAGUGUUGCUUCAAAAGAUCUCUUUCCUCUGUUUUUUGUUUUUUGUUUUUUUGUUUUUUUCUAAGUAACAAAAAACAAAAAAAAAACAAAAAACAAAAGAAACAGAAGAGAAAAGAGUGCAUGAAUCAACUCAUACAUAUAGAGAAAUUGGUUUGUUUCAAUUUGGUAUUAUGGGUAUGAACAUGAUGUUAUGUUUUCAUUAGAUCUGCAUUUACCACCUCUCUUAUACUCUUUUUUUUUUUUUCUUUUUGUUUUUAUAUAUGUAGUGUGGAUGGCAUGUUCAUUUGGAUAAUCUACUAGUUGAUGCAAAACUUGAGAGGAUUAGAGAGAUUUUUAGCAGUUGUUGUAGAUCAACAACUGAGUAAUUUGAUUAGGGGAGUUUUUGGGCUUUUCAAGUGCUCUUUGUUGAUGUUAUUAUUGUGCAUUGAGAUUGGAAUCUUUGAGCUACAAUAGUGCAAAACUUAGAGGAUUAGAGAGAUUUUUAGCAGUUGUUGUGAGAUCAAGAACUUGAGUAAUUUGAUUAGGGGGAGUUGUUGGGUUUUUUGAAGUGAUUUUUGUUGUUGAUAUUAACUAUUACCAUGAGCUACAACAAUGGAUCAACCCAUGACAAAUCCAUGACCAAUUCUUAUACUAUUGAAUUCGCGAAUGGCGAUUCGGGGAAGAGCACUUCGCGCCACCAGAGCCGCCGCAAGAUCUUAGGCUCCUCCCGCGCGAAGCCGCCUCCUUCGAAAUGGGACGACGCCCAGAAAUGGCUCACCGGAUUUUCGGGCGGCGGCGGCGGUGGCGGUGGCGAUGCGCAGCACAAAUGCAAGCCGCGGAAUUCGAACGCUGAUGACCGGCGGCUGCUCCCCUCGCACUCGCAGAGGGCGAGGGAUUCUUGCAGCAGCAUCGAGGGCGCGUUGGAUUACGACUGCGCGGUCGCAGUCGCGGUCGGUUAUUCGCAAGAAGAAGGGGAGACUAAGAAGAUAGACUGCAAUGAGCUGUUCUUGAAGGCGCAGAAUCGGAAUCCGAAUCCGGUGGAGGAAUCGGUGGUCGGAGUUAGAUCCGUCUUUUUGAGGGAUAUGGGCACGGAGAUGACUCCCAUCGCGAGUAAGGAGCCGUCGAGAACGGGCACGCCGAUGAGGGCUUCUACUCCAAUCUCUUCGAGGUCGUCGACGCCGGGGCGGGUUCGCCAGGGUGGAGCUCCGGUGAGUGAGAGGAGCAGUGAAGUAGCGGCGGCGGCGAAUUACGGGAGGGCGAAUGGGAAUAGUUGGGUUGGUCGAGGGGGAGGGGAGGCGGAUUGCGUCGAGAAAUUGGAGAAUUCGGUGUCGUUGGCGAUGGAGGCGAGCUCGAACUCUUUGGAGUCCCGGGCGAUGGCGUGGGACGAGGCCGAAAGGGCUAAGUACAUGGCAAGGUGCUUACAUUCGAUCCUUCGAUCUCGAAUUGUGUUUGAUUCUUUUAGAAUUGCAAAUUGGAUCAAUUAUGUGAUGUUAUGGCCACAUUCGGUACCAUUUGGAUUGAUUUUGUGUUAAAAACUCCCCAAAAGAAAAGAAACAUCUUCAAAAUUCGAAUCUCGAGUUCUUACAAUGAAAGUUUUGAGUCCUUUGAUGUAGAGAAGUUAACUGAUAAACAAUUUAUAGCAGCGAACUCAGCCCGAAUUUUGAAUCUGAAUCUGCGAUGUUUUCAGAUACAAGCGCGAAGAGGUGAAGAUACAAGCUUGGGAGAAUCACGAGAAGCGAAAAGCGGAGAUGGAAAUGAAGAAAAUCGAGGUACUAGAUUAUGUUCUUGUUGUUUUGGUUACAGUUCAAAUAAACCAAUGCUAUGUUUAAGCUAUCUUAUCAGAUGCCGGAAAAGUUACAUGGAUGUGUAUUUGUUACUCCUACCAGGUGAAGGCCGAGAGAAUGAAGUCGCGGGCUCAAGAGAAGCUGGCGAACAAAAUGGCGUCGACGCGGAGGAUUGCAGAGGAGAAGCGCACGACCGCGGAAGCGAAGCUGAACGAGCGCGCGGCGAGGACGUCGGAGAGGGCGGAUUACAUUCGGAGGACCGGGCACUUGCCCUCAUCCUUUUUCUCCUUCAAGUUGCCCUCUUUAUGUGGUUGAGAACUUGCUUGUGAACUCAUCAUACUUUGUCAAGUGAGCCAAUAAUAACUGUUUUAGUCAUAUGUAUUCUGCUUGUUACUUCAGAGAUAUUGCAUUGCAUUAUACUCUCUUUUAGAUCUUAUAUAUUCCUAUGUCUCAGCUAUUUAUUAGGUUUGCGGAUGAUAGUGAUUUGAACAUUGUCGAACAUGAAUCUGCGAAGCAUCAUCGUUCUCUGACAGCUUAAGUUUUUUUAGAAAAAAAAAAAUCGAGCUAAUUGGGUUUUCAGAAGCUGGUUAGCGAAAAAUUCAGAUGAUGGCCAGGGGCUUCAGUUAUGCCUUCACCUUCUUUGCAGUCACUAUUUGUGAUCACUUAUGUUGAGAUCUGAUAAUGCAGAAAUCAUAGACGGUUCAUAAAGUUUUGCUGCAGUUUGAUUAAGGGACCAUUUGGUUGCAUGUAACUACAACUGUACGGCAGUUGUUACUGCAUACAAAUAUAAAUUCGGUGUUUGGUUUGAUGUGUUUAACUUCAACUGCUGCAGUAGAAAUUGCAGGAGAAGGUCCAACUGCAACAGUUAGAAUUACUCCCUACUGCAGCAGUUGGAGAGAGUAACUUUAAACAAAAAAUAAACUUAUCUCCUUAAUUAUUUUUUAAACAAUUUUUUUUUUUUUUACUUUAGAGGUAAUCUCACCAUCAUAUAUAUAUAAAUUAUUUCUCAUCUGUCCGCAACCAAACAAAUAUUUAUAGUUACAGCACUUUCUAAUAUAUCCAACCACAUGUGAUGCAUUUCCAACUGCAUCCCAUCUCUAAUUACAUUGCAUUUUUAAUUACAUCUAAUCAAAUGAUUCUUAAGUACGAUUUAAAAUUUUUUUUAUUGUAGAAAUAAAAAAUUUCAAAUUAAAGUUUCUGCUGUUAGAGACAAGAGAAAGCUCAAGAGUGACUUUAAUUAGAAGUGCUUGCGGUCAAUAUUUGCUAUUGCUAAUAUUUUGUUUAUUGUCCAGAAUAUGUUGCAUUUAUGUUUCCUUUUAUUGUUUUGGUCUAAAUUUUAUUCUAAAAUCUUUUUUUUCAGCUAAUAUGUACAAUUCAUUUAUAGGGCUCAUUUGGAUACACAAAAUGUCUUUUUUUUUUUUCCUUUACUUAUGGUGAUCAUAGUGUGCAGAUUAGUAAGAGAGCCUACAAUUGUAUAGUUUUUGUGAUUUGUAAGUUAUUUUCCUGGAAACAUGGUAAAUCACAACGUAGUUUAAAAUACAUUAUGCGAUAAAAUUGUCGGAUUGUUGGCACUAAUCAUUAAUUCCAAAAAUUCGAGUUAUUAGAAAUAUGCAACUAAUUCACUUAAAGCGUACAGAUACAGCGCCCACGAGUCUCGAUUGUGACUCCGCCCAACUAGCCUCACGCCACUUCGAACACGACUCGGCCCACCCUGCCUUACGCCAUUUCGAACAUGACUUGAUCCAACAUGGCCUCUCGCCACAGGGUAGGAUGCUGACCCAUGUAAGCCAACAAAAAUCAUAAUUAUAAGAAUCUUACAAUGCACUAGUAUUACCCGAUAACUUUUUCCGACAUUCAACAAGUUCAUAGUCUUGUUGAUUUUAUUUUGAAUCCUUAAGCGCUCGUUCUGCCUCGAAGACUACUAAAACACUGUUGGGUCAACAGAAGUGGGAGUAAAAGCACGUAGAGAGAGAUAUACUUUUUUAUUUUUCAGUCAGAUCGUAGAAAAUCAUAUCUUAAACGAAGUAGUGCAGCCCACGUCAAAUUUAUUGCGCAUGUGAAAAAUGCUGCGCCUCUCGAAUCGUACAUCUAUAUCUAUACACAUACAUUAUUUCUCAUAAACUUUUGCCACGUGGCAGUACUAUAGUCCCUCCUUUUUAAAAUUUUUAACGUCUGUCUCUUCGGCUUUCCGUCUCAUUAAUUUCUUCUAUGUAACUGUCUCUUCGGCUUCUCGUCUCAUUAAUUCCUUUUCCGUCUCAUUAGUUUUUAUUUUUUAAGAGGCGUUUCCCGAGGAGCCCGUGGACACGGUAUAUACCAUCCUCGACAAUAACCUUGCCUACUACGUCCGCUCCAACCGCAAGCCCCACAGGCGCACCGCCCUCACCCUUGCCGUCAAUGUCACCCUAGCUCCUAACCCUCCUUCCUCGAUCUCGACUACUUAAAUUUGUAAUGUAUAGUUAUGCAAAGGGUGUGUAUCCCUUUCCUUUAAUGACAUCGGAGGACGAGAAGUAUCGGCUAAUAUAUGGACUUACCGAAAAGGGGUUGAAAGUACUGUGAUACUUUACAAAAUCGUCGGUAUUAGUAACGAAUGUCAUAAAUGAGGGUACAAAGGGGUCCGAUUUUUAUGUAACAAAUUUUUUUUUUAUCUUUUGUUGUUUUUCAUUGAAGUAUAAUUCUAUUUUAAAAAUUUUAAAGUAUUUUUUAUAUUAUUAAAUUUAAUCAAAUAUGAUUAUAUCCGCCGCGUCGCGUGGGUUCCUACACUAGUGUACAUAAAAUUGAAAAGCUUUUUUACUCUCUAAAAUAAUGUGUGAUCCCCACCAUUCAUUCUUAUAUGCGUGAAUCUCACGACAGCCCCUUAAACCUUGCGGAUGAUGCGAUUUUAGCACGUAAUUGUGCGUGGGCAUAAAAAUGGCCUUGCUUAGUGGGCCGGCCCAACCCAAAAUGUACGUCUAAUCACAGCCGUCCAUGAUCACGAUCACGAUCAAGAUCAUGAUCAUGAUCAUCAUAAGCAAAAUUUCUCCCAAUAUUUACAAUUCAAUGUGCACGUGCGCUGGCACGUGCGAGCGGACGCAAUAAUAAACCUGCAUAAGCAAGCAAACGGCCAAGACGCCGCUGCAGCAGCGUUCUCGUGCGGUCCGCAAAUGCUCGGCGGACUCCAUAAUGUACCCCAAAGUGUCCCCCCAAAGCUCAAAGGCAUUGCAGUGUUGUGUUUACUUAUUUGGACCAAUUUUGUCACUAAAAUUAGGUUGAAAUGUUUUAGUUAGAUUGCUAAAUUUUAAUUUAUCUCAAUUGGUACAUAGAUCCACAAUUUCUUUUUUUAAUUUUUUUUUUUAUAUAAGAUUACUUCGUCGUACUAUAAACAGUAUUCUUAUAAAAAAUAUAUAGAAUAAUAGCUGAUAUAUUUGUCACGUCAUUUUUUGAGACAAAAAAAAACUAUAUGGAAUUAAAGGAUGCAUUUACAAAUUUUAUUACCUUAUCUAUAAUACAAUGAUAUUAUCACAAAUAAUAAAAUUUAUUAUUUUAUAUAUCUAAUAUGUCAGUGAAUGGAUAAGAUUAAUUCUUGUAGAAUUAGUCUCUUCACUGAUUUAUUUUCAACUACGUCUGAUUUAGGCAUAAUUCGAAAUACAGUAGCUAAGCCUUUAGUUACAAAUCUAAUUGUAGCAUAUGGAUUCAACUACAGCAGAUAAAAUAAAUUUGUUAGAUUUGACUGUAAUUGUGCUUCGCUUGUUGCAUUUUCAACUACGUUAAUAUAAUACUUGGUACUUAACUAUGGAUCUAGUUGCAACAUGCAAAUACAACUAUAGGAAACAGAGCAAAUCAUUUAGAUUUGAUAGCAGUUGCGCUUCAGCUGAUGUAUUUUUAACUACGUUUAAUUUGCGCACAGUUUAAAAUAUAACAGUUGGAUUUUUAACUAUAAGUCUAAUUGUAACGUCCAAAUGUAAUUAUAGUAAACCAAAUAAAUUUUUGACUAAAUUAUAGAAGACCUUUUGUUAUAUCUAUUUUUUUACUUUUUCUCCCUAACCUUUAAGUUAUUGCAUUUAGCCUUUUUCCGUCAAGAUUUUAUUACUAUUCUGUCCAUUGUUUAUAAUUUAUACUGAAAUUAUUUUUUAAAGUGACAGAAAUAUAUUAAAAAAAUAUUUUUUUUAUAUAAAAAGUAAGGAUAAUUUAGUUAUUUUAUUUUUUUAUUAACGCCAUAUUCUUUUAAAAAUAUUUUUUAAAAUUUUAGAGGGGGCAAAAUAUAGAUCGUUGAAAGUUAGAGAGAGGUAUUAAAAAAGUGAAUAUUUAAUGCUGUAUUUUAGCCUAAAUUUUUUAAUGUAAUUUGAAAUGCAGCAAACCAAACAUGCCCUUGAAUUGGAGUGACAAUUCUGGGUACACUCACAGUGACUCAAAGCAACACCCUUCGCAUCUUAAAAUAUUCAACUCUCUCUCUCUCUCUCUAACUCUUCACAUCGUUGGAUCGACCAAACCAUUUCCCCUCUUCGUCACCCUCGUCCUCCUCCUCCGCGAUCCAAAACCCUAACCCUAACCCUAACCCUAGCAUUAACCUCUAGAUUCUCCCUGAUUCCUCUCGAUUCGGAUCGGGGAGUGGAGUCGAUCGAUGAUCGCAAGCCAUGCCGGCGUCGCCGAAGCGCUCCUCCGCCUCCUCCGCCUCCGCGGCCCUCCCCUUCGCCCUAGAGUUGGACGACUUCAAGGUACGAUUCCCUCCUUCUCAUUCUCGCUCUUGUGGAUCUCUAUCGAAGUGGGUUUCUAUGGUGAGGAGAGAUCUUUGUAGGGGGACUUCUCCUUUGAUGCCCUGUUCGGGAGCCUGGUGAACGAGCGCCUCCCGGAGUUCCAGGAAGAGGAUGGAGACGCGCCCGAUGGCGGUUUUGGCGGCGGCGGCGGCGGCGGCGACGCGCUGCCGAAUGGGAACUUACGCGCCGGGGCGGGGCCGCCGAUGUUCCCCGCGGUGGAUGAGCUCCUCACCCUGUUCAAGGAGUCGUGCAAGGAGCUCGUUGAUCUACGGCAACAGGUUUCAGCUUUGUACUUUACAAGAGAGAAUUUUGAGCUUAAUUUGUAGUUUCUGAAUAUUCUGAAUUGUAUAUUUGUUGAUUUUUUUGUAUUUUUUAUGUUAAAGAUUGAUGUUAGGCUUCAGAAUUUGAAGAAGGAGGUGGCGGUUCAAGAUGCGAAGCACCGGAAGACACUUGCUGAGGUUAGUAGGUGUGUGGUACUAUGCCAUACAUGGUGAAAUGAUUAUCCUUUUGAAAUGUUUGAAUUAUUGAAAGUUGUCACUUUGUACGAAGUUUGGCACUCAAUUGUUUGAUUUUUGGAUAGUUAUAUGUGUUUUGUUUGUAAACUCAUAGAGCUGUAGCUACAGUCAAGUUUUAGUAAGUGGAUAAUGUAGGGCUGUUUCAGUUUAGAUCUGGUCUUUGAUUGAGUAUCAACAUAAAGAGAAAAUUUUGGUCUGAUUUUGGUUGGAUCUGAUGUGAGAAAAAGGACUUUAACUGCUUUAUUGCUUCAUUAUUUAUUGUGCCUUUCAAAACUUGCACAAUUUGAAUAAAAUAAGUCUUUUUGAAGAUCAUUACUAUAUUCUCAAAACAAAUCAGCACAUAUUAGUUCAGAUCUCUCCAUAGUGGACUGUUAAAUUAAAUUGCCCUUAAUCAAUCUAUUUGUAUUUUAAAAUUUUUUCACAUAAUUUGAACUAGAAGCAUCAGAGUGCUAACUUUUCAUAGAGAAUAUUUAUUCAACCUAAUAUAAUCGAAACCCCUAAUUUUAAGGAGUUUUAAAGUCGGAGAAAAGGCUUCUAAAGGUUUCGAACUUUUAGCCAAAAGUAAUUCUAGGAAAACUGAAGAAUUAGUGUAAAUUCAACAGAUAUUGCUCCUCAAGAUUUGCCUUGAUAAAUUGCCUUUUCUUGUCAGUCCAGGACGUCAAACUGCAUGAAAUAGUCCUCGCUGAUCCAUAAUUAGUCUUGUGCAUGUGUAGGAUUUUUAAUUAGUUUCUUAGAAAUUUGGUUAAGGGUGUAAUCUCCCGGCUAAUAGUGCUAUCAACAUUGUUCUUGAUCAAUCAUCAAAAUCUGCGACUUACCGUUGAGGAUAGGUUCGCUUUUAAUAUUCUCCAUAUCAUACAGGAAAGUUUAACGACCUGUUGCCUUGAUGUUUGCAUAGUCAAUAUUGAUGAAUCAUUACAAAACUAAAGAGUUUGAUUGAAAUUUGAAGAGGAAUGCCAAGUUGUGGUACUUGGUACUUAUUUGCAAAUUAAUUGUAAAGGAAAAUGAACUUUUUUAGGAAGGAAUUUUUGCAUCGGUUGCUGAUCAGUUGACAGAAGCAUUUUAUUCGCAAUAUAUGUGUUUGUACAGCUACUUGGUUAUUGGACUCCUAAUGUGACGAAACAUCGUAAUUUAAGAAAGAAAAAAAAAAUUAAACUUCUGAACUUCUUACUAAAUAUUAAUCCAAAUUUAACUUUUCUUACCACAAAAUAACACAAUUCUUUUGAACUAUGGGAUUGUAGCAGGCUUUAAAGUAGGGCCCAGCAAUCAGCUGGUGAGUCUAGUUAAGUGGUGAUUUUGCAAAAUUGCUUGUAGACAGGUACCUAAGGCCUUUGGGUUUUUCUUGACAGGUUACUUGGUUGAUCUGUGACAAGGUUUGGUCGGUCCUAUAUGAUGUAUUCCUAGGUUUUGCCUGUUCAUAGCCUUGUAUCUAGGUUGAGGUUCUUACUGGUGAUUGCUUAUGGUGCCAUUAUUGCAUAUCUGAUGACCAUAAAGGGCUAAAGGAAGGAGGAUUACUAGUUGAUUUUUGUGAUAUCGUUAAAGUACUGUUAUAGUUGCUAGCCAAUAGUGAGGCAUUUCAUAACAUUGCUAUGUUGAAGAAUGUAGCAUUUCUACAUCUUUGAGUCGGUUAAAAUAUUGGUAAGUAGAGAGAGUGGACAGCGACCAUGUAAGCUUUUUCAUUGUUCUUCAUGUUAACACUAGUCCAGUUUUUUCUGUUUCUUAUUGCAACUUGCUGGCGCCAGUAUUGCUAGGACCUCUAGUGAGUUGAAAUGGUUUGGUGAUUUGGAUGAAAGAUGUGUUCUAUUCUUGUUAAGUCUAUAGGUACAGUUUGAUCAUUAGAACGUGUUUUCUUAGUGUAUAUUGCAGGGCACUCAUUGCCAUCUUUAGCUGCAUACUUGUAUUUAUCUUCAUAGUUUGUAUAUGUACGCGAGAGCUGGUAAAUUAAGGUAGUGGAACUUGUUUGGAAUAUGGAGUGGUUAAUUCAUCCCUUACUUUUAAACUCUGUAAAAGGAAAACUAACUCAAUCUGAAGUAUGCGACUUCCAUUUCUUGCAAUCAAUGGUCAGAGAUGUAUUGCUGAAUGUCUGUUUGCUUGUUCUUGUUCUUUAAUUGUUCUUAAGUUGGAAAAAGGUGUAGACGGCCUAUUUGAUAGCUUCGCCAGGCUGGACUCUCGUAUUUCAAGUGUCGGUCAGACUGCUGCGAAAAUUGGAGAUCAUUUACAGGUACAGUGGCUUGAUUCUUUACAUCAUAAUAUAAGUGGCUCUUUCUUAACCGAACCCUGUUGAACCUGGUUUAUGGUUUAAUAAUUUUAUUUAUUUUUGCUUGUCAGAGUGCAGAUUCCCAGAGAGAAACUGCUAGUCAAACAAUAGAGCUAAUCAAGGUGAGUAUGUAAAUAUUGAACUCUGAUGAUAAUUUAGGUUUUGUUCUUCUGUUAAGGCAUCCAUGCUGUAUGGUUCCAGUAAAUUUUGGUAAAUUAUCUUGCAGUACUUGAUGGAGUUCAAUAGUAGCCCCGGUGACCUUAUGGAACUUUCACCUCUGUUUUCUGAUGAUAGUCGUGUUGCGGAGGCUGCUUCAGUUGCACAGAAAUUACGUAAGCUCUUUUUUCGAUUUUUCUUUUGCCUUUUUCAUCUAGUUGCAUUUUUUUCCUAAUUUUGUAUGUCUAGUCAAAUUAGUUUUUUCCAUUUCUUCAAUUUAUUUCUAUUAGAUGUGCUUCAAGUUGGUUUACAUGGAUUUAGCCGUCCUUUUGAGUUUGAAAAGAAAAAAAAUUGCUCAUCCUCCUUGAAGUGACAUCAUGUUGCUAUAUGGUUUUACCACACGAGGACAUUUUAGAAGACUGCAAAAUUAGAUUAGAAAACAGAGAGGCCCCUCUUACCUUUUUCUUUCUAAUGGAUUGAGCAAAAAUAUUUUGAUGAAUUUGCCAUUGGUCUUGCUUUUCAUAUUGGAAAUCGGCCUCGCUUUAGGGCUUGAGUUAUUGAAUUGGUUGGUUUUGGGCUUAGAUUAUGUCUCUUUAAGUACUUGAGAGGUUUUCUUUCUUUGUAAUAGGGUCAUUUGCUGAGGAGGAUGUUGGAAGACAUGGUGUGCCAACGGCAGUGGGUGCUGCAAAUGCCAGCAGGGGCCUAGAAGUUGCUGUUGCAAACCUCCAAGAGUACUGUAAUGGUAAAUUAGAAUGGACAUGGCAUUUUUCUGUGCUUUUGGUUGCUUCCUUUUUUAUUGUUCAUAUCUCAUUUUGCCUAACUUUUCCAGAAUUGGAGAACAGAUUGUUGGCUCGGUUUGAUGCAGCGUCACAGAGACGAGAAUUAUCCACUAUGGCGGAAUGUGCUAAAAUUUUGGCUCAGGUUAGAAUUUCCUUAGUUUUUUUUGUCUUUUUUUGUCAUGGGCAUACAUAACUUGACACAAUUGCAAUUAUCUGUGAAUUGAUGAUAAAUUCACUAUGUUUAUAUUACAUAGAUUGAUACUCAUUUGACACGCGGUCUUGAGGUGGCUCAGUCUGGUCCUCAUUGCCAAUCUCGAUGGAAUUUUCAUAGUUAUCUUUAUAUCUUUUAUUGUUCAAUUCAUCUUUUGCAAAUAUCAGAGAAUGCUGAGUACUUCAUCUAUUAUCUAUUAUCUAUUAUAUGAAUUAAUUUAUGAUUUUUAUUUUUGGGUGCUGCCGGGGUGGGGGAGUGGGGGGGUGAGGGGAGUGGUGAUAUUCUGAGUUGAUUCCUGUCAGGUUGAAAGGUCGAGAUUUCUGGCAUUGAUUUUUGUUUUUGUACCUGAGACAUAUUCAAGCAUAUCAAUGUUAUUACUGCUUGGCCAUUUUUGCAACAGGAAAAAUUGCUUUUGCAGAUCUAAUCUAUUUUGUUCAAUUUUGCAACUUAAGAGGCUAAAUAUCUUUUCAUGGACCAAAAUUCCCUUGACUGAAAUCUUUAGAGCAUAAGUUAUAUUAAAAUGGGCAUCCCAUUCCGGGAAAAGAGACUUUGAGCUUAAGUUUCAAAAAGCAAAUAACGGCAUGCUGUAUUUAGUAAAUCUAAAAGUACUGGACAUAAGUUUAAAUUCUCCUUACCUUAUAUGACCCUUUUGUGUAUUUCGGGUUUAUAACCUUGGUUUUCAAAAUGCAGUUCAACAGGGGGACUAGCGCAAUGCAACAUUAUGUUGCAUCAAGACCAAUGUUCAUUGACGUGGAAGUUAUGAACACGGAUAUCCAGGUUGUCCUUGGUGAUCAGGGUUUGCAAGCUGGCACUACCAAUAUUGCACGUGGUCUUUCUACGUCGUACAAGGAAAUAACAGGUGCUCAUAGUUUCUGUUUCUUGAAUUUUAGAAGAGGAUUUUACAUAGAUAUCCCUGCAAAAUCAUCUAUUGACAGAGGUAUUGUCCAGUAAAAUCUGAAAUUCUAAAUGUACCCGUUGGUGGUGCAGUUUCUUACAAAUAUACCCUCACCUUAAGUUUGGGAAUCAUCCAAUUAUCGACAGGAGUUGAUUAGAAAAUGUUUUGCAAAGAGGGGAAUUUUUACAAGUAACAAUAUAUACAGAAGAAAUUAAGUUUUUGAAGGAAACAUAUGAAAAUUUAAAUUCUUCAGGGAUACAACUAUCAUUUAGUGAUAUAUAGAUAAUUAUGUUGGGGUACGUAUGUAAAUGGCUCAUAACAAAAAGGUUGGUUUGCCAUCACUUCACGGUAUCAUAACUAUAGAUUCUCCUUGCAGAGACUGUGCGGAAAGAGGCAGCUACGAUUAUGGCUGUCUUCCCAUCUCCAAAUGAUGUUAUGGCUAUUCUCGUGCAGGUAUGCUUUUGGAAUUCGUCAUGCAUGUUGGAAACUACGAAAUAAAACAGUUAAUUAAAAAAUUUGGUUGUUCGCGUUUCAGCGAGUGCUAGAACAAAGGGUGACCUCAAUACUUGACAAGCUUUUGAUAAAACCAUCCCUUGUGAACUUACCUCCUAUUGAAGAAGGCGGCCUUUUACUGGUAAGUCUUGCAGUGAGAAUUUCUUUUGAAAUAUUUGCAUUUAUACCCUGCAAGUUUAUCUAUUCACACAAGUAUCCAUUCAAAAUCUUUUAUAGAUUUAUUUAUAUAUGCUCUGGGAAAAUCUAAUUUUUAACAUACAUAGAUACCCUAUAAUAGAAAAAGUUCUCCUCUUUAGAAAGUUUGCUAAUACAAAACCGACAUGACCCAUAUGUUGGAUGACUCUGCCUCUUAACAUAGGGCUAUUUUUGUAAGAAACUGUACUUCAACUGUAUAUGUAAAAAUUAAAAUUUUACAGAGGUAUUAUUUGUAAUAGACGAUUUUGCAGGGAUAAGCACAUGUAAAGCCCUUUUGUUUUUCACUUUAUUACUUGUACUAGUAAUUGGGACUCUAGGAUGCUAAUGUUUGUUUUUGUUGCACUGACGCUGCAGUAUCUAAGAAUUUUCGCCGUGGCAUAUGGUAAGACACAAGAACUUGCUAAAGAGUUGCGAUCUGUGGGCUGUGGAGAAUUGGAUAUUGAAGGUAUUUGGUCUUAUUAGUUAUCACGUAUUUGCGGACUUCUGUAUUGGUGUGCAACUUGUUGACAUCGUUCAUUUGCAUCUUGCUAUCUUCGGUUUUUCAAUUUUUUUUUUGGUUCCUAAAUAUGACUUUACUAUUGAGCAUUAUUUUUUUUGUUUAAUCUUUCUUGAAUGCAUGUCUAUUUGAUUUGUUUCUGCUCGCAACAGUUUGCAACCGUGAUAUCUUAUGCAUAACUGGGAUGAUAGUGAAAAUUAAAACUGUAAAACUUGAGCCAACCAAAUCCAAAGUGAGUGGAACUUUCUUUAGAUUCCAGAUAGUAUCAAACAAGGGAUGACACACUAUAUGUGCUUGAUAAACUAUCAUCGUCAUUUGAAAUUCUGAUGAAAUGUAACAUGUCAAUACAUCUACUGUCAGUUAGAAUAUUGAAUAAACUAUGAAUUUGAUGAGUGAUACUUGCAACCUCCUCACAGGAUUUUAAUGAAAUACUGAGAAUAUCAGAAACUCCUUAAAACUGAAUAUUCUGAUCGUAAGAGGGACGUAAUGCCCUUAAUAACUGUUGAUAGUAGGGAUCAAGGAACCAAAAGAUGCAUUCCAGAAAGCACACAGUAGGAAAAAGGCUUUGAAGUUCCUGGGGUAAAAGAGAGGCUUUUUUAACCUCAACAAGCAACGGGUGUGCUGAAAAUUUUUUCCUGUGUAAGCACUAACCAUUCUUUGCAUUGAAUUGGGGCCUUUAUGGUUCCUGAAGGCUGAAAAAAUUUCAGAAACUUCAAUUUCGUUCAAGAGGACAUAAUGUUAGCUAUUUGAACUUAAAGGAAAAGAUCUGCGAAAGAUUGCUCCAAAUUUGCCUGGGCACUGAUGGCCAAGUGUCUUCUACUGUUUUUCUUCUACCAUCCUAUUUAAAGCCUUCACCACGAGAGGAUUUAUGUAUGGCAUACUAUACAUGUCUAAGUUUUUCUGUAGGCAAAUGUAAUUUCAUUUUCCAUAUGAAGCUUUCUUAUCUUUAGGCGAUGAUCCUAUUUAAAAUCAAAGUCAUUUGACAUCCUGUAAAUUAUUGGCACUUCAGGUCUCACCGAGUCAUUGUUUCUUGCGCACAAAGAUGAGUAUGCUGAACAUGAGCAGGCAUCCCUCAAGCAGCUAUAUGAUGCAAAGGUUUCUUUCUUCCACAACUCUUUUAGUUUCCUUGAAAUAUUGAAACGUUUAAUAUGCCUAUAUUAAAUAUUUGCUGGAUGAAUAAUUCUUGUGCUUGUUUCCUCUUUUCUUUAGAUGGAAGAGCUGCGUGCUGAGGCUCAACAACAAUCUGAGUCCACCGGGACGCUCUCACGUUCGAAAGCAGCAUUAAAUCCGUCUACCCACCAACAGAUAUCUGUUACUGUCGUAACAGAAUUCGUCCGCUGGAAUGAGGAAGCAAUAUCUAGAUGCACUUUAUUUUCUUCUCAGGUUUAUAUUAGCUUAUUGCCACUUGUUCCUGUUCUAAUGUGUUUCUUUGCCAUGAGUCCAUGACUAUUCUUUUAAUCUCUUAUGUAUUGUAGUAUCCCAAUGCUAGCUCAGAUACUAUCAUGAAAAAUUGAUAUUUUCAUAGCAUCUCCUUGUCUUUGUCUAGAAUCUAACUUACAUUGUUGUUUUACUACAGCCUGCAACUCUUGCAGCUAAUGUGAGGUCGGUGUUCACUUGCUUACUCGAUCAAGUAAGUUAAAGGGCAUCAUAAAUGGACGUAUUGGGCUGCACAAAUUUAUCUUUGUUAUAAAUUCUCUCAAUCAUUUUGAUAGGUAAGCCAAUAUCUAACCGAAGGACUAGAGCGUGCCAGAGAGAGUUUGAAUGAGGCUGCAGCAUACAGGGAUAGAUUUGCUAUUGGGAAUAUUGUUAAUAGAAGAGCAGCUCAAGCAGCUGCUACUGCAGUAUGAUUCUUCUCCUGAACAGUUUAUGCUAUGUCUAACAAAACAUUAAUAUGAUUGAGAUAAAUACAUAUAACGCCCCUACAAGAGUUCCUUUUAUGCAUAUUCAUGCAAGAUCUUAGUUUUCAUCUGUCCUUCAGAAACUAGAUUCUUACGUAUAUGCCCAUGUACAUGAUGAGAUGCCCCUCUUGGAAAACUUUUUAAUAUUUGGAACCAAGUAACCCCUUAUAGGUUUGUUGGUACUUACGGAUGUGAAAAUUCCGAUUUUCAAGCAAUAUAUUUGUAAGUAGGUGAUUUUGCAGGGAUGUAUGUAAAAGUGCUCAUAUGAAUAUAUGACCAUUUGAUUGUGAAAACUUUGCAGGCAGAGGCGGCUGCUGCUGCUGGUGAGACCAGCUUUAGAUUUUUCAUGAUUGCUGUUCAACGAUGUGCUAGUAGUGUGGCCAUACUACAACAAGUAAUCCACUCAAAAAUAGACACUGACUUGAUUACCUUAUAAUUGGCCGCAACACUACUGCUAAUUAUUGAUUGCCUUUUUCUCCCUCCAGUACUUCUCGAACACUAUUUCUCGGCUUCUGCUCCCUGUGGAAGGUGCCCAUGCUGCUUCCUGUGAAGAGAUGGGCACGGCAGUUUCCAGUGUUGAGGGUGCUGCUCAUAAGGGGCUUCUACAGUGUAUUGACACUGUAAUGGCUGAGGUAUGUAGAAAUGCCUUUUCAUUUACUCUCACUUGUUUGAUAUGAUUUUUUAGAAAAAUGCUUACUAAUUUUGGAAUAAUGCAUGUGUUAAAUGCUCCAUCUUCUGAAAGGGUUUAAAUAAAGCAAAGCAUUAACUACUACUUAUGGAAUGCUCUUUUUGUUUACUGUGGACUAGAAAGAGAAGCCUUGUAGUAUGCUCCUUCCAAAUUUUAUUCUGAUACUCCUUUUAGGCAUGGCAUUUCUCUUCAUGCAUGCUCUGUGAGAAAUAAUUUUAUGAUGCUUUCAAACAACAUUGGCUUGUAAAAUGCUCAGUAACAGUGUGAAGUCAGCUUGCCUUCUCUUGCUAGUAUCCAACUCAGAAACUACGCAACCACCAUACAUAUCAUGGAUGUCUGGCAACUCAUAAGUGAUAAAUACCCUCACCAUAUCACAUUUGUCACACUGUAUUUUUCUAGGAAAUUCUUUGAAUACAAUCAUUGCCUUCAUAUAAUAUGAGAUCAUUUGUUUUCAUCGGUGAAGAAUAUUGUUCAAAAUGAGCAACUAAAUAUGUGUAGUUAUCAAAGAGGCGAAUAACAUUUGUCCAUCCUUGUUCACAUGGAAUGCUUUUUUUAUAUAUUAGUCAAUAUAAUAUUCUAAAGACUUUCUAAAAAAUCAUGCAGGUUGAGCGGCUGCUGUCUACAGAACAGAAGGCUACUGAUUAUCGUUCUCCUGAUGAUGGUGCUGCUCCUGAUCACCGACCAACGAAUGCGUGUAUAAGGUAUAUCAUUUACUUCUUUACUUUCACAUUUAUUUUUUAUCUUUACUUCUAAUUUUUAGCAUUUGCAGAUUAGUAUGACUAGUAAUGUGCUUUUCCAUCGGUCAUUUCAGAGUUGUUGCAUACUUAUCUCGUGUUCUGGAGGUUGCGUUCAGUGCCCUUGAAGGCCUCAACAAGCAAUCGUUUUUAACUGAAUUGGUAUAGCUUUGCAUCUUAUUAUGCUCGUAACUUAUUGUACUCAUUCUUUCAUGAUGUGUGACAAACCGGGGUUUGCAAUUUUAGGGCAAUCGCUUACACAAGGGGCUGCUUAAUCAUUGGCAGAAGUUUACAUUUAGCCCCAGGUAACACCCCUCCUUUCUGUGCAUUUAUAAUAGUUCUAUUGGUUUUGUUGCUAGCUAAAUUUUAAAUGAAAUGGUGAAUAGGAACUCUCUCUUAUGAGUUUUAGCUAGUAUUUUAUAGGUGGUUUAGGUGGUUCUAUAAUUGCUGAAGUUUUUGUCUGGCACACUGGUGAAGAUGAUAGCAAGGAGAAUAAUAUAAGAUGUUUCUUUUUUUCUUGGUGGAUCUAUUUGGAUGUCUCUUGUCUUAUCCUCUAUAUAUUUUAGUUGCUCAAAUACUACGUGAUAUUAUCUUUCAUGGUCAUGACAUGUCGUCCUAUCAUGCAUUUCAUGAAAUUUUGUUUCUACUGGAGAAUACAAUGCUUUAUAUGCUCUUUGUAAUUUGGCCCAGCUAGAGCUUAUGAAGACGUACUGUUUGAGAAGUACUAACAGCAUUUUUUUUUUGGUUGAAAUUCUGGCAGCGAGAGGCUCAUUUUAACCUCCCUCCCUUGUAUAAGCUCAUGUUAACAUCCCUUUUGGGGGCCACAGAAGCUCAUUUAACUUUCCUUCUUUCAAAGGCCCCAGACCCUUUAUUACCCGACUGCCUGCUUUCUAGAAGCUUCUACUUUCUUAAGUAUAGCCGUUCCAGAAGUUAGGCCAGAUAUGCAUUAUUCUUAUGCCCAAUAAAAUCUUAAAAGAACACAUUGAUGUAAAAGUGUGUUUACUAUCAAUAUCAAAAUUGUUAUGUUUUCACGUAACACAGUAAUCAUCUUGUGAAGUAGCACGGGAUACCAUUCAAAUCUUAUUAAUUCACUUCUAAAUUUUAUAACAUAGAAAAAUCUAUUUAUUCUUACCUCUCUCUCUCCCUCUCUCUCUCUCUCUAUAUAUAUAUAUAUAUAUAUAUAUAUAUAUAUAUAUAUUUAUAUAUUUAUUUAUUUAUUGUAGCUUCUUUUUGGUUGUUUAAGCCAUAGAUUAUCAAUUAUAAAUUUGAUCCUUUCUUGCUUUAGUUUGUCGCCACUUUAAUGCUUUCCGGUGUUAUGAAUUUACAAAAGAUAUUACAAUCUCACAAUAUGAGCUUUUCAUGGCUACAUAUAACGUAUUCGAGUAUUUCUCGGAACUAAAGACCAGUUCAAUAUGAAGAAAUAGAUUUCAUCAUGUUUAGUUUUUCUUUUUGUAGUCUCGAGGUUUCUCAUGCCUUUGUCAGGUGAUUAGUCUCGUGAGUAACUUUUGAAGCCCCUGGUUACUUCUAUACACCUUGCUAUGAAAUUUAGGAAAACAGAAACAUAAUUUCUCGGUAGUUUUUCUUCCGACUUUUGUAAUCUAGAGUGUUGGAAUUCUCGAACUAUAUAUAGAAACAGUAUGAAAUUGAUGCACAAUUAAAAUCGUGUAUUUUCUAUUCACUUGCCUUUGCUAUUUGGACCAGUUUAAACUAGGUAUUUAUUUUAUUGUACCGUUUCUUAUUUGCAGUGGUGGGCUUCGGCUGAAGCGUGACAUUACGGAGUACGGGGAGUUUGUUCGCAGCUUUAAUGCUCCUUCCAUUGAUGAGAAGUUUGAAUUGCUGGGCAUGUAUGUGUAUUACUUUUAUCAAUUCCGAAUCAGAUAUUUACAUUAUCUUGACGGAAAAUUAUGUUUUACCAUAUAUAUGCUUAGGCAAACUCUGAAUCUCCGCACUUUCCCUAUAACAAACUUAAAAAUAUUUUUAUUAUAUACCCUUGCACUUUCAAAACUACCCGUUCUUGAGAACCUUUUCUAACUAGAAACCAAACGUUCCCACACAAUUAGAUCAUUUUCUGAUUCAUGAGAUUUUUUUUUUCUUAAAAGGAAUAAAAAUUGCAUUUCAUGGCAUAUAUUUUAAAAAUGAGAUUUUUCAAGGGACUAUGUGUAAAUGGAUGAUUUGCAGAGAAUUAUUUGAAGGUUCAUCUAUUCUUAGAAUAAGGAGGCUAACAUGAUAUUUCUUUUUCAGAAUGGCUAAUGUCUUUAUUGUGGCUCCCGAAAGCCUCGCGUCCUUGUUCGAAGGAACCCCAAGUAUCCGAAAAGAUGCAUUAAGGUACACGUUUUGUCCCUGCAUUACACACACCAUUUUUUUAAAAAAAAAUAAACUUCAUUGGGAUUUAUAUUCUCCGCUCGGAUUAAACCGGAAAUUUUGCAUUAAAAUGCAGAUUCAUUCAACUGAGGGAUGACUACAAGACUGCGAAAAUAGCGUCUAGGAUCAACAGCAUCAUGUCAGAGUCGUAAAUUUAUAACGGAGGGCGGAAGCAUGCAUACAUGAGGUAGGAAAAAGGCCGACACUUUUUGUUUGCUCCAAACCAAAAGGUUUCUUUUUCAUCUUUUUAAAGCUUUAAAACGAGCUUCUGCGAUUCUGUUUGUCCUCGGGUCUGUAGAGUUCUCAUCUGCAUUGUUGUGUUCGUAGAGACAGUUUAAAAUUCAUGUUCAUUCUUUCUAGCUUCUGGAUAUGUUUAAUUUUGCCGAGCGAAUUGAAAAAUCAUGCGUGUAAAUGAUUAGAACCCUUGAGGCUUAUUUCGUGAAUUUAGAUACUAUAUGAUCUGUGACUAUGAAACAACUUAAGAUUGUAUGAUAUGUUAAAUUCAAUUUAUGGCUAUUAAAAUUGUGUUUGAAUGAAAAUAAGCAAUCAAUUUCUUUCUCGUAUAAAAUUAGUAUGUUCGAUGUCUAAAUUUUAACCUUUAAAUUCUUACAUUUUGGUCCCCAAUCUUUGAAUUUUAUUAUACUUCUGACCUUUUUAAGUAAAUUUUUUUUUAGGUUUAGUUGGAUAAAAAUGCUACAUAAUAAUUGUUAGUAUAUAUAUGAGAAGUCCAAUUACCACUUACCUGGAAGUUACAUAGCAGUUAUGAGGAUAUGUUGCCUAACUUUGGUUGGGGGAUUUAAUCAAAAGGGUAUGAGAACGUUUAUGAUGCAAAUAUAAUGAAACUAAUUAUACCAUUUAAAAGGUUGGGGACCAAACUAGCGUGGCUUUUUUCCUUUUUUCUUUGGUCUGUUUUUUGGGAAGAUGCUUGUGGAGGUUUAUUGGGUGGCGCCGGAUAAUUUUUUUCACAAAGUGAUAUUAUUGUGUGCAGUAAUUUUCUGCAUACAAAAUUAUAAAAAAAUAGGGUUCGGUCUGUGUAGGCCGGUGGUAAUUUUAAGCGGAGGGAAUUGUCAUAUGCACAGAAACCAGGGUUGGUGGCAACUAAACUAACUGUUCUAAGCAGCGGUGGUAUCUAUACCAAAACAUUGAGAACUGUAGUCGGUGAAAUUACCGCGCGUGAUCGUGGUAGUGAAUGAUUUAGAAGCAUAAAGAUAAUUACAGUUCAACAUGAAUUGUCGCAGAACUAAUGAGUUUUAAGUGCUCCCUCAAAUUACAGUCCUGCAUAAAAUGAAAUGAAAUCGGAUACAUGAAUCCUCAAAAGAAAUCAACUAGGAAACACCUUUAUUUUAACAUAAGACAAAAGAGAGAAGAAGGGGAGAAAAAAGAGGAAAAUACAUCAUCAACAGCUGCAAAUAACUAGGUUUGAGUUCAACAUAGCAAAAUCCUCCUUGAGAGGAAUAGAUACCGUUAAGUUCUCACAUUCUGUGGCAGAGCAAAUCGUGAAAACCGUGGAAUCGAUCUGCGCGGUUUCAAACGUCAUAUGGAAAUGCUGUUUGGAAUCCCACGGCCCGUCACUCCCGGCCCCGAUGACGGAAGGAGAAGCUCAUAAGGCGGAAUCCCGGCGCCGGCCCUGUUCUUAAGAUGGAAAUCCUUGUUCCUCUUGUUGAUAAUGUCCUCUAUCUCGUCGAGCCUGGAAGAGAACUUAUCGUACAAUUCCAACACGCGCCGAUCGCUGAUCCAGCUCGGGUUCGACUCGCUCACCCGACCGAGAUACUCCUCGUCUGGGGAAUGCGUCGACAGAGUGUCCUGCACCGCCAUUACUUGCGUCGCCUGCAGUUGAGAAGGCACAGAAGAAAGAAAAACUUGCUGAGGAUUCAGUAAGAAUUUCUCGUACUCGGGCUCGUCUUCCUGAGGAAUGAGCUUCUUCAUGAGCGUCGGGCGGUUGGGCAUGUACCCGCCGAACGGGUACUGUCCAAAGUUUAUUGCGGCAUGUUGCCCCGACGCGAUCCAAAUCAUCGUCGUCAGGAUCUGGACCAUAUCCUUGUCGGUUUUAAGCGUCGGCCACCACGGUUCGUUCUUUUUGUCGGCGUGGCCCUUGUUCUUUAUUUCCUCCCACCAAGAUUGGAGCUCUACGUCAGAGGAUACCGAAUUCGGGUCGGGAUAGAAGUGAGAGACGUAAUCUCCUACCCACUCUUGGAUUGCGGACCAGAUGAGGAGACCGUCGGCAGCAUACGGAUAGUCUUCGAGGAUGAGCUUUACUCCGCAGGGCAUUGAAGGAUCUUCCACAGCCAUGCCCCUGAAAUGUGGGACAAUUUUUCCUUUGUAUAUUAGCACAUGAUUCUUACAUUUGUGUGAAAGCCGAUAAUAGUUUGUGUAAUGACCCGACCGACUAGCAAUAAUAACUCGUUGGGCCCAAAAUGCCAGCCUAAAAUGCUUAAGCUCAGUUAUUAUUACUAGUGUCCAUGAUCUCUUAUAUACCAAAUCAUAAUCUUAUUCCAUUCGAUGUGGGACUAUUGAGGCGUCACAUUCUGAUAUAGUAAUCCGUCGAAACAAACGAAAACUACGUAAAAAUUUACCGAAAUUAACAAAACCGUACCUCCGAAGAAGAUCAGCGGGUAGAGCCUCCAUAUCGAAUCUCCACAUACUCUUGUACGCAGCUGCGCUCAGCUCCAUCGAGUACUUUCCAGGAGUGAAGCAAUUCUCGAUGAUGCCGCCUCCGUUGAUCAAACUCUGGCGCGCCAACGCAUUUAUCUCCAUGGUGUAUCGCAUGUGCGGAUGGAGCAGCUUGAAUAUCGGGUGCAUGGAGCUAAGCUGUCGGUGAGUCGCGAUGAUGUAUGGUUCCAUACAAGCAUGAGUUCUCAGCCUAAGAAAUGCAAAUUACAUAUAAUAUAUCACAAAAACAUGAACAAUAUAGUAAAGAUUUUGAAGUAUGAAAAAGCAAUACUAUAUAAAGGCCGAAUAUCGCCUUUUAAUAGCAAAACCGCGACAUGUUAUAUCACUAUUUUGUCGAUUUAUAACAUAGACAAAAUGCUCUCAUUUUCAUGAUGUGUAAGCAAUUGCUUCUUCACAAUUCAACACCAAAUAAAAGACUUCGUAGAAACUAGAAAUCAAGUGCUUGAGACAUUUUGGAUCAAAACGAAAAAGCUAGAGAACAGAAAUUUAACUGGAUCAAGUAAAAUUAACCUCUAUUAUAAGCAUCAAGAUGGAUAAAGAUAUGAUACUGACGAAAAAAACAAAAACAUACAUGGUAAUAUGCUUCUUUGAUCCUUUUUACGUUGAAUUUAUA